UUUGUCUUCUCAGCUCUGUGUUGCCUCAAUGCUCUGCUGCAACCUACAAUCUUGUCAACUGACUGUGGAUGAUGUUCUCAUACUGCCAAGUGGCUGUUGGGUUUUGAUUUUUGGGAUGAUAAUCUUGUAAAUUGUUCUACAUCAUGUAUUGUGCUUCUUGUUAUGUACUUGGUCCAACCAUUAUGCUUGUUACCAAGCAUAUGGUUGAGGGGGAUGUUAAGUAUAUAAGGAUAGUUGAGUCAUUUACUAUUAUCCCUACCGAUAUAAAGCUAUGAGUUGUGUACACUGUUCAUCAAUUGAGAAAUACAAGAUGUAGACGUUUACUCUCUCCUGUGUUUUCUUUACUUUUCUGCUUAGCAUUUUCAAUUCAAUAAUUCCAUGAAUCCUAUCAGUCGAAAGGGUUGAUAGAAGAGGAAAAGUUGAGCUUGGCUACUGUGAUUACGAAUCCGGAGGAGUAUUUCUUAAGUAGAUUUGUCACCAGAUAUGUCGACCAAGUACCUCAGUUGUCGAAUAUAUACCAAGGAAAAAUGGAUGUGCAGGAUGUAUGAUCUUGGUCACACAGUUUCUAGGCUGAUAGUGUUGAAUAUCUGAAGUUUCUAUUGGAAGAAAUUAAAUGUUGCAUUGAUCACUAUUUUUCAUUACUAUAACGAGAUCAUUUCUAACCAGUGUCUCUGUUCUGGAAGUAUAAUAUAAUCCCUUCGAGUGGUUGCUGUUGACGAGUAUCUGAGAAGGAGCAACAAGUUAGCUUGUUAUUAAUCGUUUUCUAAUAACAACUUAUUCCGCAGCAUAUAACCAAUCUUCUAUCUUCCUUCUUGAGCUUCAGGCAUUUUCCCUAGUUUAAAUGGUUGAUUGACUUUGAUCGAGUUCUCCAGCUACCCUAAUCAUAUUUUCUGCUUUAGAGUAUUCCAAUACUCCCUAGCAUCAAACAUGAUCUAACUUCAUAAUCUAUAUCCAGAUUUAGAGAACUCCAAUGAUCAUAUUAGCUUUCCUAUAACAUGGUGUUGUAACUGUUGCUGAACCAUGGCCAGAGAUGCAGGUGUGACUGAGUAGCUUCAUCUUAUGUGUAUGUACAGCUUGGAUACAGAUUACAGAAUCAUCCCAAGGUUUUCGGUUGUUAGAGUUUUGAUGUUGAAAGGAUUGAUUAAAGAGGAAAGGUUGAGUUUCACUACUGUUUUUGCGACUCCAGAGAAGUACUUCUUGAAUAGUUCUUUCCAGAUUUCUGGACACAGUACCCCGACUUUCGAUAAGUACCAAGGAAAAGCGCAUAUAUGCACUUCAGCCCAGUUUGUGAGGUUAGUUUGUAACGCACUUGUAGGCUUGAUAGUUUUGAAUAUGGCUUGUCAACAGAUAGCAUUGGAAGCAGCAUUCUCAGUAAUGACUAUAAAGAGAUUUCUAAAUUAUCGUCUCUGCCUUACAUUCAGUUUGUUUGUUACUAGAAAAUAUAUUACUUAUGAUCAUGUCCUCAGUCUGAAGUCUGCACUUAGAAAGGAGGUUUCUAAUUUAUCAUGUCCUGUUAGAUUAUUGAUUGGUAGCAAUUAGGUGAACGGGUUCUGUGCCAUUGCUGCCCUCAGUAAUGUCCCUAGACUACUCAUUGGUUUUAAGGUCUCUCGAAUCUGUGAAAAGCUCUAACGAAAGUCGUCAGCUGCAUCUGUAUUUGCCAACUGUGGGCACGCUGCAAGGCAUGUCUGUUCUCUACUAGUCAAGAGGGGAUCCAUGUUAAGCUGAUAGCUUUAGGUAUCGAAACAGCUAGGAUAAGAUUCUGCAACAUGAAUUUCUAUCAAUUAACGAACACCUUCUUAUUAAGUUGUGGAUUAGGAGAUAAUGGCUAACCCAACUCAAUGAAAAGCGUUGGUUCCAUUUCAACAUUAAUAUGUUCGUUCUGAAAAGUUCAACUGGGAUUCGAUCCACUCGAUGUUUGCUGUGACUUUUGGUCUAGAUUGUCAUACUAAAAUCUGGAGUUCAGUUAUUCACUCGUUUUCCUUACUGUCAUGGCAAUAGAGAAAAGUUCAACUUUCUUGUAGCUGUUGAUAACUAGUAGUGAGGAUCUGUGAUCUUUGCUAUGUUGUAGGCUGAUAGUGCCAAUUCCAGAGGCACCACCAUUUGAUGCUUGGACUUUGGAGUAGAAAAAACAGGUUUCUGUAUGAUUUUCAUGAGUAGGUAUAAUCACUGUCUCAGUUUGUACUUAGCAAAGAGGUUUCUAAAUUUUCAUGUCCUGUCACUUCAAAUUUAUCCUCAAGAAUCAGAUGCUCAUUUCUUGUAGUUUCGAACUGUAAAUAUGUCUGUUUCGCAACAAGACUGGCUAUAAUAUGUAAACAACAGUCUAAUAAUAUGUAAUCACACAUGUUCGGGAAUAUACGCAGAAUCACCAUCAGAUGAAAAGACUAAUUAAAUUUCUAGGAUGAUGGGGUUAGGAAAAAAUUUGGCUUCUCUACUUGGAUUUAUGUUGUUUGGAUUUGCUUGGAUGACUUCUAACCAUUGGAUCAAGUACAAUCUAAGACGAACAUGUCAUCCUUACUUCAUCUAAUAGUUAUAAGACAUCCAAGCAAAUCCAAACAACUUAAAUCUAAACGGAGAAUCCGGAUCCGUUGGGAAAACAUGACAUAUUUUACUUUGGCCUCACUCUGGCUCACUUUUCAUCGGCAUCGUUAGGCAAACUUGCUAAUUGCUAUGGCUUGGGUACCAACAGCCUCACCUCACUUGUCACGGCCGCGUGGGCAGUUACUAUUAGUCUCACCUCAUUUGUAUGGGCAAGGGUGGUGGGCAUUGUUAGCCUCACUUAGAAGUUGCUCUGAUAACUUGGCGUCAGCAGUGUUAGCAUCACUUGUAUUGAGCCUCACUUGCAUGAGCCUGAGCACCGGUAGAGUCUAGCUUAGAUAAAACCUGCGGCAAAUUUCAGUUUCUUGACUUCAGAAAGCAAGGACAAGCACAUGCCAACUGAGGGAAAAAUCAAGCUGCACCAAGUGUGGGUAAGUUCAGCCAUACACCAAGUUAUGCGAAGCAAGAUCAAGUAAAGACCAAGUAUGGGUAACGUUUGGUUGGUGUUCGAAACGCACAAAAUCAAGCGAACACAGUACGAGAGCACUGCCUAUUGAACACCAGUGCAGGAGCUUAGUCUCAACAGGCCGAAGGUCGAAAAACAUAAUGAUGGAAGGGGGGAGGAGGAAGCAACAAAUUGAAGUGUGAUAUAGGGCUUAAUAUCAAUGGAUUAUGACAGCCAGGCCAUUCUACCACUCAUUAUCCCAUUGCUCAUUGAAGUCGUCUGCAAAGGUUUUUUUUCCCACAACUUGGGUAUUUCAGAGCAUCUCUCACAACCUGUGCACCUCUGGACUUGGCCAUAAUUAGGCGCUAACUGUGGGUCGGUAAUCAAAACCUUUCCGGCUUUCCUGAUUAGAGCAUAUAAAGACCAAGAGUUGGUUACUACUCUAGGCGUGUUCUUCCGUUUAGGUUGAAUCACCCGCACCAUCUGUCAUCUGCUUGAAACGAAGACGAGGGCAAACCGACAAAGAGGGAAAGAUGAAGGCUCAGAAAUUUAAGUGGCCGUGGAGUAGAAGAUAAAUAUUUUCGACCAAGACCGAGAAGUGGAGAGAGCAAAAAAAAAAAAAAAAAAAAAAAACAGCCCUAGUCCUGUGUGUAACACCAAACCUAGACCUCUAAAUUCAAAUUCAUCAAAAGACAUUUUCAAACUUUGAUUUCAAAACUCAGGAACUGGCUAAACUAUAGUGAGUCUUAAUAAUCCUCAUAAGACAGGCCAAUUCAGGAAAUGAAGAGGUAACUUUAUUGAUAUGCUCCGCUAAUCAUCGGAGAUGAAUUUUAUUGAUACAUCCAAUGGCCAAUUGAAAUAAUUAAACUUUAUUAUCUAAACCUAUAUGAAUGUUAUUGCUAUGGGUUAAGUUUAAAGUAUAAAACUAUAUACCAACAUCAAAGAAAAUUUUGAACAAGAAUAUCACAUCAAAUUCAGUACUACCUAUAGCUGCACCUGCCCCAGUUGCUCAACCUGAAAGCAGAUCCAUGCUCAAGUCAGUAAAUUACCAAUGAAACUGCUAGAUCCUAAUUCAAACAUCUCAAGCACUUUGAAAGCUUAUACAUAACGGUGUAUUGCUAACAUGCAAAAUGAUGACAUUUUCGUGUGGAAGACUAAAGAUCAUAAAUAUUAAAGAGAAGGCCAGAGUGCCAAUUUGGCAGAAAUACCAAAUCGUAAAUUACAAAAAAUUUCAGCAUGGAUUGCCUACUUUCUACACAAGAUAUAGAAGAAACUUUGCAAAUAAAGCAUAUAGUCAUAUACUAUAUGCUCCUAAGGUUCAAUAACAAUCAAGUAUGGUCAUGAGCAUUAUCUGCAUUUUUCUUUUACUCCUUACACAGCACUGUCAUUGACAAUUAGUAGUUGGACUCCCACAACCUAAAUAUAUACAUGCUUUGUUUUUUCAUUUUUGUGCUUUUCCUUCAACAUUCAUGUUCUCCCAUCUAAGUAACCUAAAAUGGCUUUUCCCUUGGGAUGAACAGAAAUGAACAAAAGCCCACUGUUAGAAAAGCAACUAUUAUAUCUUGGGGAAAAGAGAGUAUUCACUUCUUGUAUCUGCAUCUCACACAAAAGUAAACUAGGUUUUUUUUUCUUUUCAAUUUUUUAUGAUAGGAAUUCUCUUAUUUGAGAGACACUGAUACAUAUUCAAUAGAAGAUCAACUGAUUGCUACGUUUAAACCAAGUUCAGAAGUCAAUGAACGAUCGCUGAAAAUUGUGAAAAUUUUACCUGUGAGAUCUGAAGGAAAGACCUAAAAAAUAUCCACCUCCCCUUCUCUUCACACAGAUGUCUUUUAUAUACAAAAGUUGCCACUGGCAAGAGAAAGUACCGAAUAAAAGUUAGAGAAGAAGGCAGACAGUAAAAACAAUAAAGCAAAUUUUCAUUGCUACGGCUACACAAACCUUUGAUGUAAGAAAAGCAGAACCCCAGCACUGGGAGUUUCAUGGAUAGCACUGACAAUAGUCUCAUUUACACAGUUUUCUGAUUCGAUCUCUAUUAAGGCAGCAAGGAGACAAAGUGAAGGAACAACCUGUUCAUGUUACAUUCUACCAAAAUCAAACUCAAGAGAUGUUUUUUGGAAAGUGAAAGGAAACAGAGAAAAGAAAAAAGAUUAGAGGGCGGGAAAUAAAGAAAAUCUAAUAGAAGGGCAGCAUACCUGCAACUUCCAAUUUUUUUAGCUCUCUUUACAUAGUGCCGAUAUGGCUCAUUCUGUAAAGUAAGAUCAGACAAUUCAUGCACAUACUGGAAGACUUGCAAUGCAGAUAACAGAUUGUUAAGAUAAGUUAACCAGCUGAAGAAGAAAGCCCCAAUUGAACAUGUGGUUCUCAUCAUUAUGUAGAACUAUUAUAUCUUCCAACACAUUCUUCAUAUCCACCUUUUGAAUGCUGCUCAGAAUCUUUUUCAGAAGAGCCUUAAAUAGUGAUGGUUCAAAGUCCUCGAAAUGACUAUUGGUUAUUGAGAUCCGAUGACCCACUUUGGAUCCAUACAGUGAUGGAAAACAGAUCUAGGAUCACAGAGAAUAAAUUGGGUAGAAGCUCCUCAGUAUAUAUGAACAGAAAAAUUUUGGUGACAACCAGAUCUCCCGGUACAAGUUCCAAGCUGUACAGCAGAAAUAUCCAGGUCAUCCCUUCACUGCAUGAGACCCAAGGACUCACCAAUAUGGUCUUCAUGUAUUAAUAUCAUCCCCACCACCAUCUGGACUCUUCUGACGGAUAUUGCUAAUGGCUUCCGUUGCAAGCCGUACCAAACGUAGUAAUCCCUCUACAUCCUGGAAGUUAAAGUCAAGAGCCCUUUUAAUGGAAGAGAUGCAUUCGGAAUACUUAGAUUCUCCCACAGCAGCUGCAAAAGCAAGAUGUGAUCUCUUUGAUGCGUCCAUUGCAUUAUGUACAUCUUGUGUCUGCAAUUCAUCAAUUUUGAGUAUAUAGUUUGUUCAGUCAUCAACCCAUAAAAACAUUGCUAGUGAGAACUGUGAGUGAGUAAGUGAGGAGGGGGGAAGGGGUUGGAGGCGUGUUACAAAAUGGAAGCAGUGCUCAGGUCCCAAAUAUAAGGAAUGACAGAUUAAAAGUUUCAAUAGAAGAUCAAUGAAAACUCACAAAUUUCAGCAUCCGGACAAAAUUGGGACGAUUUCGAGCAGCAAUGACAUGGUUUCCAGCAACUUGGGGUGAGCUGACUCCCUUAGGUAAGGGAACCUUGUCUGCGGUUGAGGGAUUGUUUAAGUUGUCAACAUCAGAGGCAGAGGAAGACGGAGAUUCACCUGAUAGAAAACCAACAGAGAAUGGCAAAUAAGUUAUUAGAAAAAAAAAUUGUUACAAGAGCUUUGCGCCUUCUUUAACACCAAAGCAGCAAAAAUAAAAUUUAAUUUACCAGGAGGAACCAUUUGUAAAGCUGUUUGCAACUCAUGUCGGUCUCUGCCUGCACUGGAAUGCGAGGAGUAGAUCACUUUCAAAUAAGCCACCUCCAAGCAUUUGAAGGCCAAAGCAGCAGAAGCCAUGUCUUUGGAUUUUUCAUAUUCAUGAGCACAAAACCUAUAGAUAUUUUAAGUUAGAAAGGAAAAGCAGGGGGCUACAAAAAGUGACAAAAGCUCCCGAAUCAAAAUAGAAUUAAAAUCCACAAAAAAAAAAGAAGAAAAAAACAGUUAAAGAAACAAAUCUACUACGAGAAUCCCUGCAGAAAGGGAUGGCAGACAACAGAUAGAUUUGCAUAGUAUGGUAUAACACCAUAUACCUUGUGCAAAGAAAGAUGAGUCAGCUUCACCAAGCAUGAAGUCACAAAAAAGCUCCCAAUUUUAUAUAAUUUUUUUCUAGUGAAGUUACCUACUCCCCAAGGCAAAAGCACCAACCCCUUGGCCAGUACACUCUUUCAUCUACCUCCCAAACGAAAAGACCCUCACAAUCACACUAGAGAAACACAAAAUACAGGCUCCAAUUACUCCUAAAGAUUUCUGUUAAGUACCCUCCCAUAUUAAUUUGGGAUCCAACACCACACCAGCAUUCCAUGAGUGGUAGCAGUGUCUCACAUGCAAGGUUGGAGGGAUAUUAAUUUGAGGAUAUGAAGAAGUACAGCAUGACUCAAUUCAGGAAUGUUAAAAAAAAUGACUGAAAGGAUAUGAAAAAUGACAGUCACAUAGAUCGGUGCAUGUCUAGAAGGGUUAAUACAGCUCAAGUUUGACUUACUGGCAUAGUGCUGCAGUGCUUCUAUAAAUUUGCAUGGAUUCAUUAUGCUUGGCACUCUCAGUGUUGGCAGAUUCUAAGAGAGAUGCAGCGUGAAGAAAUUUCAGGACCGCCUGGAAGUAAAGCCCCGUACUAUCAUUUUCCUCAUUGUUCUGCAAAGAUCAACAUUAAAUACAAUUUGUACAGAAAGGAGCAGCAACAUCUAGUCAUGAAAAUAUAAUAGGGUAAGACCUUGUAACGAUCAGCAAGGUGUUUCAUAUCUUUAGCUUCUUUCAGAAUACACAUAUAGGCCGGGGUGGAAGAAUCCCUUCUAGCUGGACUAGGGGCAUCAAGAUCCCUAGGUCUAUGCCCAUUCUGUGCACGAUGUCUUGAACUAAUAUGCUGAGUUCCAUUCUGAGUAUCAGCUUUUCUGUUCCGCAUUUGCACCUUGACUGAAUCAUUACCUUCAGAGCCAUCUACUUGUAAUAUAUCUGCUCCAUUACCUUUGUGAGAACCAGAGACUGGUCGGGGACAACGAGUCAUUUCUGGUUGAGCUCCUCCAGAGGGUGGCAAGGGCAGUGACUUUCCCCUUGUCGAACCUGCAUCUACUCGGUCACUUCUUCCAGAAGGAAUUCUCUUUGAAGACCUUUCACUAUCAGAUUCUGGCUGCUUCUUCGGAGUCGAAAUCGCGUCUCUUGGGUAAAUAGCAUCUAGUCUAACAUCUGGGCCAUCAUGCCCCCCAAAAUUAGACUGGUUCUCCCUUUUGCUACUCUCAUUCAAGGACUUCCCCAGCAAAUCUUUUUUACUAACAUAUUUGUUCUCAGUUUCACCAUAUUUGUUCACCUUCUCCGGCAAUUUGUUUUUAACAUCUCUAGGUUUCAUUCCAAGUGAUGGUGAAUGGUCAUGCUGUUCAUUGACAACAUUAGAAUUCCUGGCCUUCCCCAUGUCCAAAUCAGAUUCGUAGCUCUGCUUGUCCUUUGACCGUGAAGAGUGGCUCUUUCCUGAAUUUCUUGGGCGAGACCCCAGAGCGUUAUAAUGGCUGCCAUUCCCUCUGUCUUCACCAGCAAAUUGACUUGGAACUAGUGGUUUAAUAGGAGAACGACUAUCUGGUCCUGAAUUAUCCAAAGCACCAUUCACAGGAAAAUUAUUCGUAAUAUCCGGAGAUGCUACAAUCUGUCCCCUAGCUUUACCACCAGAUAUGCGACUACGAUCUCUGUCCUGAACAUCAAGUACUGAAGGUUCAGACCUAUGAUAAGCCCCGGAGGGAACUUUAUCCUUUCUCGCUGUCCCAGAUCGAUCAAUCCUGCUGUCAUCUUCACCAUCUGAGCAUCGUUGUGGGCUACCUAACGACAAACGACCAGCAUCUUGUGACUCGUCCUUUGGCCUGAGGUCUCUAGGUACUAAUUCAUGCUUAUCAGGGUGUAAGAUUCUCAUAGGUGAUGAUGAAACCGAUUCUACAGGCGAACCUUUAAUUUCUUGAAAGCUGGAUUUGGUCUUUUGGGAGCCAGAAACUUUGGAAGAGCUUGAAGUGGCAGCCACAGAAACCUGAACAGAUCCCGAAUCCUUCUUCAAAGAAUCCAUACCAUUCUGACUCCGCUGAAUUCUAAUGCUUGUAUUCUUCGCAGAUUGUUGCUUCUUUAUAUGGCUACUCUUUUUGUCUGUUCUACCACUGCCUUUGCUUGCACUGGACUCUUUUGCCUCAGAUUUAGAUACUCUUGCCUUCUUUUCCUUCCUACAGUCAUUCUCACUAAACUCUUCCUUCACUGCAACGGAACGGUCUGGAAGGGAACCCUCAUGAAUUUCAGGAUAUUCCCUCAGUUUUCUCUUUUUCGGUCUAUCUCUGAUAACAUUACCCAUGCAAACUUCAUCUUUCACUUUGGUAAGAGUAGCAGCCCCUAGCCUGUCCUUAAGUCGAUCUUUUCCUGCUUCAGUAGUCAGAAAACCACUACUUGAGCUAGGACCAACCUCGCCAUCAGGUCCGUGGUGAUCUGAUGCCCAUUCUUCAUCAGUCAUACGCCUACCUUCGCUCUUGAUUUUCUUUGGAGCUCUAGAAGUAUCUGGAUCAAAGUCCCUUCUGUUCUUAAUCUUUAAAUUGUUGAUAUGACCUGUAAUGGAUGUUAUCAAAGAGUAUGUAAGAUUAAGCAUUAUCAGCAAAAUUUCAAAAGCACUAACAAAUUCAUGUAGUAAAUAAAUUACCUCCAUCAUAAGAGGAACCUAAAACUGUUUGCUUAUCUUUGUGCUUAUGCUUCCGUUUCUCCACUGCCAAGCCACUGGAAUUGCUUAACUGCUGAAAAUUGGGCUCGUUCAGAGGUGAAGAUUGGUUAACAUCAUUCAAGCUUUUACUCUUCAGUGAUGCCUGUAUGUUCUUCAUAGAGCCUGGCAGCAGGACAGAACCAUCUUUAUCACUUGCCUUUGACACUUCUUUCAAUCCAUUUUUUUUCAUCCCACCACCAGGGAUGGCAUGCACACCAAAAUUUUGGGGGUUUUGAUCAGGGUGCCGAAAAUUAGCCAGUGCCACACCUUCCAUAGAGCCACCAGGAUUAUUGAGAAGAUUAGUUUGACUCCCAGGUGCAGGAACAUGGUAUUGUGCAAUUAAGGCUUUUGUCUUCUCUGUUGUUUCCUCCUCCGUUACACUACACCGGUUCAUCCCAGGCCUGCAUUUGAAUCAAGAGAUCAGCUUCACAACGAGACAAAGAGAAAGAAAAACUGAAACUACUAGGCACUGAUAUGUAUAACUAACAUACAUCAAUGUACCCGUCUAGGGUAUGAUUGAUUACUGUGUAAUAGAAUGAAUGUAUGAUAAAUAGUGAAGGACUAGAAAGGAACUUACAGCCAAUUGAGCAUGCUACAUAGCCACUUCUCUGGUAGGUUGUCGGGAGUGGUACCAUGUGGAAGAAGCCGCCAUUUUAGACACUUGUCACACUGCACCCAAUAGUCUUCCAUUAAUGCAGGAGCCCCUGUUGCAGGAGCUGCAUCAGAAAUGGGUCCAUUUCCUGGGCGUUGAGCUAUAUUUGAAGCUGUAACAGGAUGUGAAUCAAUUGUCUUGCUAUUUGGUUUCUCUCUUGAUGAGACAUUAACUGCAUAUGCGCUUUUUGCAACAGCAUCAGACUCCUUAAGCUUAACUUCAGAAGGCAAUUGCAAUGAAUCAAUUAGGUUCUCUUCUUCUUCAUCCCCAAAGAAAUCUCUAUAGGUAUCCCUGCUUUUAUCAGGGCCCUUUCUCAAGCUUUCUGACUCACCAUUGGAUGUAAGCUUGUUUACAUGCGUACUCUUUCCUUUGGGCAUUGAAGAAGAACCGGCCCUGGAGCUUUCUUUUGGAAAGUCUGUAACUAGAGUCCUUGGAAUUUCUUUUGAUUUCCUUUUUUCGCCAGGUAAAAGCUGCUCCUUCCCAGAAAGAAAUCUCAUAUCAUCUACCUCAUGGGCUAAACCCUUCUGACUGCCCCUUUGCUUUGACUGGUCCAUCAUUUCAGUACUUAGAGAUUUCCUCCCUUUAGAAACAUUUGAGUCUGCUUUUGCUGAUUCAUUACUUUUCUCUUUGCGAUGGCCAUUUUUCUUUGGAGGUCUCGAAACAAUAUUGCUAGAACUUACUUUUCUAUCUUCAUGAACCUUUCCAUCCAAACUGGCUUUUCGCUUUUCAACCCAGUUUUGCUCUUGGUUGGAUGUUGGCUCCAUAGGCUCAUCUUCUGCUUGACAAGGGAAGCCUUUAUCCCUUACAACAUUCUUAUCUGCUUCUUUACUCUUUGUCACAUCAUUGACAGAAGAGUAUGAAUUGGAUAGAAGUGGGAGCUUCAACGUUUUAGAAACAAGCUCUUCGCAAGCAAAUGUAUCGAUAUCUUGAUCUUUUUUCGCCAGAAGCCGAAUUCCAUCCUUAUUGUUCCCACUCUUUGAUUCUGCAGAAAGAUCAUUUCUUUCAACUGAUUUUGUUUUCCUCGCCCCAGACACUUUUCCACUACCCUCCCUGGUAUUUGCUCCAUGUACUAGGAACCCAGAUCUUUCCGAGCCAUCCCUUGGAAGAGGAAGAGAUCUGACUUCUUUUGCAAUCAUUUCCUUUUCAGUUAAAUAAAUUAAAUCUUCAGGAAGAGGUGACAAAAGCAUACCCUCAUACACCGGACAGGAUGUCAUAAUCUGCUUCAGACCGUCAUCCAAAAGAAUAUUUCAGUCAAUGCACAUUAUGUUUGAAUAAGAUAACAACUAAAUAUUUCAGGGAGAUGAUCACCUGGAGAAUACUAGUGGGAGAUUCAAAUAGGGCAUCUUGAGGGUCAUGAGAUAUUCCUUCACUAUCUGAAGAAUCAUCAAGUGAGGAAGAUGGUGUACCGUCAAGGCCAAGCCCACUAUAGAUAUCAUUUUUUCGUGUCGACAAGUUAUCCGAACCCACUUUAAGUCGUACUUUGAGAGUUUUCUGGUCUGGUAUUUUAAUAGGUUUCUUCGUUGCAGAUUCCUGUUCAGGAGGAUACAAAUCAGCUCGAUUAGAUGAUACACUCACGUCUUGUUUGACUGGAAUGUUUGCUGAUGGUGCCUUAGGCGCAACAAGUGAAAUAGAACUGGUAGAAGCAGUUCCAAGUCCCACAGACUGAGAUACAGCAUAACAACUUGCAUUGUUACGAUGGCCACCCUGUGUGGUAAAGCAAACAAAUGCGCUCAAGAACAAUUAUUCUGAAAUAAAUAUGGAAUAUAUGUAACAAAUAGAAACUAAUAUCCUCAUUAAGUUGAUACCUCGAGUUUUAGACUGUUGGGAGAUUUGGGUAAGCCAUUAUUCUGAAUUUUUGCUGGAGUCCUCGGAUGAGACCAGACUGGAGACCGCUGAUAGCUAGGUAAAAAUGAGCCAUACCCACCGAACUUUGCCCCUGUUACAGUAAAAUUAUCAAAGUUCGUUAAUAACAGAGAAGAGACUACAAUUAAGGCAUACCUUAAAAAUGAAAGAAGUUACGGCUCCACUAUUUGACUUACCUAGAUUCUCAGCAGACACCCCACCUUCAAAAUCUUUCUGGAAGUGUCCCAAAACAUCCUGAAUUUUAUCAUCCUAAUGUCAAGCAGAGCAAACACAUAGUUAAGUACAAAGCUCAUUCAAAAGACAGUAAGUAAUAACAAGGGCUAGAACAAGAUGGCAAUACUUCCAUAACAGUUCGGGUGAUAUUUACGUAUCUUUUAAUAUUUGAGAUAAUACAUUGUUCAGCUAUCUACUAUUAAUCCCUACAUCAGGAACCAGCAGUUACUCUCAAUUACAGAUACAGAAAGUAUGAUCGGACACUUUCAGUCAUAUCAUAGGUAAGUCCCAGAAACCUUGAUUUAUAACAUUCGAAUAGUGCAAUCCCACAAAAUUUGUAACUGGAUAAGAGGCACAGCACAGUCAACAGUACUCGAGUAACAUUAUUAUGCAGCAACUAAGUUUUACCAUAACCAGUCACCAGUGCAUAAAACAUUUCCAUAAACCACCUGAAACAACCAUUUCAAUACCUCCCAAUAACAAGUCAAUGAAGAAUACUUUAGCUCAUUGCAAAAUGGAUGAAUCUCAAGCUAAACACCACAAUUACCUUACAUUAACCAAUCCCCAAGUAACAAAACUCCUAAACUACAUCGUCUAUUCUCGAAUCAUAAAUCCAAUCACACGCUCCACUGCCCUCUACAGUUUUCAGAUUAACAAAAUUCAUAACCCAGAUUUCAAUCAAACACCGCAGCUGGGAUCUAACACCAGCAAUUUACAAGUCAACCCCCAUGAAUUCAUUACCAAAAUGAUUAAAUACACAUAUACAGGUCUUACGAUGUAAGCAAGAUGAACAUCAGGGUCGAUAUUCGGAUCGUAUUCAUUGAUUUGAGAAGAACAAGCCUCGCCUUCUUCAAGCUCGGAAUCGUCCAUCUCUCUCGCACCUCCUCCGAAUCCUAACCCUAGCCCCUUCCUCCCAUCCCUACCCCCCACAGAAAUCAUCCACACCCCAAAACCUACCUACCUUCUCUCAAAUCCUCCCUCAAUUGAAAACCCAAAGCUCCCUCCGAUCCAUUCGACCGGAAACUCCCACCGAUCAGUCAAAUUCAGAAAAAAAUAAAAAUAAAGACAGAAAUCGGAAGCAGAAAUAGUUUCUAAAAACCGCGAAGAAUUACGCAGGUGUUUUUAUUUUUGGACAAAAGGAAAAAAGUUGGGAGAGGAAUUUGAUGUGUUGUGUGCGCUUGAAAUUGAUUGAGCAGGAGUCCCUCCUUUUCUUUCUCUCUCUUUCUUUCUUCUUUCUCUCUGGUUUUUGGUGUUUACAGCAGGAGGCUGCUUUGGUUUUUUUUUUUUCCUUUCUGUUCAAGCAAAAUAUUAUAAUAAUUGAUUUCUGAUUGUUUAGGUGUCCAAAUAAGAUUAGGAGGAAGGAGCCGGGAUCUGACCGAGACACCGCCGUUUUGUUUCCCGUUACGGUCACGUAUUUAACUCUAUUUCUAUUUUGCCCUUUUUUUCCUUUUUUUUGUUGGAAUGGCUUUGUCCGGAAGAAUUGGAUGUAUUUAGAUGCUGCAUGGUGGGUGUUGCCACGCGCCUAGGUAAGUUUUAAAACAGUAGACCUUGUUUUAAAUGUCUAUUUAAAUUCAAAAGAAAAUAUUCAAAGAUUGUCUAUUGCAUGCGUGAUUAGUGUGUCUGCAAGAAGGUUGUUUUAUAACGGUUACGAUAUUAUGUUAUACUUUUUUUUUUUGAAAGGUGAUUUGACAUUCAAAUCAUAUCUACAUCUAACUAUCUAACGUUGAAUAUAAUAAAUAUUGUUUGACGUGAUUAACUUUAGACUUUUUUUUUAAUAUUGAAUAUGAUGGAUGAUGAUUCAAUUCAUAGUGUACAUUAAUAUUCGUCAAAUGCUCUAACUGUGCAUUUCAGUAUAGUGUGUCUAACCAUUCUUAACAUCUUCGUGAUUUAGACUCAAGUUAAAAGUUCUUCACUCGACACAAUGUAUCUUUGUUUUCAAUGAGUGUAUUUUAAUUUGCAUGUUAAAGUGUUGGCAAUUUUCUGUUACUUAUGUACAACGUAAAUGAAGUUGUUAAUAAAUUCUUAAAAACAAACACCGAACAAAGAAAAGAGUUAAGUCGUAAAUAAAGAACUAAGUUCAUGUAUAUUACCUUGUGUGAGAGCACCGGCGGAGCCAUAAAAUACACAAGGAGGGGGGGGGGGGGGGGGGGGGGUCAAUAUAGGAGAAUGUUAUAUUAAAUCUUCUAAGUUAGCUAGAUGUCAAACACAAGAUACAUAUAAAGCCAAGGUUUUAAAGGUUUUGAGAGGUGCCAUGACACCUCUUGGUCUAUGUUUAGCUCUGUUAGUGUGUGAGAAAGUUAGUAUCGUUGUUGGUAAAAAAACCCCCGCAUAAUAGGAUUUAGUAUGGAUGCACAUAUUAUUAUUAUAGUGUCAUUUAUAAUAAAUGUUAAACUCUAUAGAUGUGGUAAGACCGUACUUUAUCUAAGGUAGUUAAACUGAAUCAUAAAAUAAGAAUAAGAUAUAUAAAAGAAUAAAAUGAAUAUUAUUAUCAUGUACUAUGACCAUUUGAUCCCAAUCAUAAAAUGAAGUAUAAUUAUUUUAUAAAUAUCAUGUGUAAGCUUAUUACAAGCAGAAUAUUACAAACAGUCAAACAGAUGAAUGCAUCAUCAGUUCAAUACCAUUGGUUUGAUUCAAUUGUUUGGGAUAAUGGUAACUACUAAUAACCUCUCGGAAUAAGUAAAUUUUUUGGAGAGAUAAUUGGGUUAAUAUUUCCCGUCCUGGUAUAUCCGCGGCAGUGUGGUUCAGGACUCCUGGAAAGCGAGUGGGGGCAUACAGUCUUUGUGAAGCCACUUGUCAGUUGGCCAAUCCGACAUGUUCUUUAGUUAUACCUGGUCCACCUGGAUACAUGUGUUUCAUUUUCUCCACGAUAUAUUUACUUAUGAGAAAUUUUAAAUACACACAUUUAAUCUCUUAAUAUACAUUUUUAUUAUUUUAUAUUUUUAUUGAGAUUUUAUAAGUAAAUUAAAUGACCAAAACAGACAUCUAUUAUUUUUUUUUAUAAAAACUCUAUAAAUAUUCUUUUAAACGUUUUCUACCCUAAAAUCGUCGAAAGCAUGUCUUCUCUCCUAACCUCAACUCUUCUCCACAAUUCAUUUGGGUUGUCUUUUGUUUUUUUGUUUUUGUAUAUGUAUAAGCUUUAGUUUGAUCUUGCAUAUCAUAUUGUCGAGUACUGCAUCUUUAUCAUGACAUGUUUUAUCGAAUAACUAGUUAUCUAUGUUUAAUAGCGAUUGUACUUCUACAGCUCUACUAGCUUGUGAAUUUUGAAAACUUGUAUUGGUGAUUUGGAGUUGGGAUAUAACAAUAAUCAUUUGAUUAUAAAUUAAACGAUGAUAACCAAAAAUUUCUAACAAAAUUAGAUGAAAUAAUAUGUCAAAAGAGGUACCAAAUAAUAAAUAUACAUUAAUUAUAUUAAAUAAUGAAAUAUUUCAUAAUUAAGGGCAUUUUAGACAGUUUGAGAUGUGUAUUAAGUAUAAUAUUAAAAUGAAAAACUUGAUAGGUGGUGUAUUAAAUAAAUGGUGUGUAUUAAGAUAUUAGGGGUGUGUACUUAUUUAGAAGGCAACAAAAAAGAAGAAAAAAUUAUGGGGAAAGAAAAGGUGAAAUUAAUUGGUUAGGAUCAUCUGAUUAUCUAAUAAUAGUAAAGAUUAUGAGAGAUUUGUUCCCAAAAUCGUGAUUUGCUUAUGUUUAACUAUUUGACGAAUCAAGAACCGUAUUUAAUUGUAUUUAUAUAUGUACUUUGAGCUGUUAGUUUUUUUGAAAAUUCGAUUUUUUUAUUAUUAUUUUUUAUAUAUUAAUCGUACUGUAUGAGAGACCUUUAGAAAUAAUAAAAUACGAAUGACUCUAGCAAUAUAUAUCUCAUAUAACUUAUAAGCUUAGUUAUAAAAGCUUUAUUCAUUUUAUUCGGAAUAGAGAUUUGAGAAUGAGACAUGUGACUUUUCUAAUUUUAGUAAUGGGUCCAAUUCACGUAAUCAACCAUCUCAAGCUUGGUUACGCUCAACUAUCCUUGAAUUUAGAUUCACCGGUAAACCAAUUAAGAAAAUAUGUAAAUUUUAACUACUUUAUCUGUGAAAAUGACUUUCUAAUGCAAUAUAAUAUAAAUAUAAAUAAUAGAGGUAAAGUAUUUACUACUGAAAACAUUUACCGACUGUAAAUAUUAUGAGGGUAAAUCGCCCACCGUUUGGGCACAAACAAAGACAAAAGAGGGACUCGUGUUUGUUGUAGGGAACAAAAGUCAGAGGUUGACCCACGUGCGUAAUUAAUAUUAUGACGUGUCUGAAACCUUCUGUACUGUUUUUUUAUUUUACCCAAACAAGUCUUAACGAUAUUAGUGUGCAGUCAGUAUCUUUGUUAAUUUCUUCCCUUUUUUACUGGGCAAAGAAGAGGGCCUGAAUCUGAAUCAUUUAUCUUUACUACCCAAGAUGGAUAAAAGUAGUAAAUGAGAUUCAUGGUACAAUGCCAUGAAGGUGGAGCUAGAGCAGGUGUUUAAUUAAUGUAAAAUGAAUACAUGCAUGCAUUUGGUUUUGUUGUGAUGGUUUACAAGAUAUGAAGAUAUAAUUUCAUAAACAGAAAAACACUCAUGAAUCAUAAAGGUAAGUAAUAUUGUGAUCAACAUGAUAAAAAGUUUCAAUAAACUCCGUCAACUAUAAUAAUCCUCUGAGUAGGUGGAACAUACAUUAAUAUUAUUUAGAUCGAAUAUCUCACCCACAUUACAGGGUUGUAUAAACAAAAAAUGUUGUGUUUAACUUACUAAUAUAUGAAUAAACUAAAUUUCUAAAAGAGUAAUGAAAAAAUAAGGACCACUCAAUUGUAAAAGAGUGAGAAAAAGAAAGACAUUGCAUAUGACUUGAUUCUUCCUCCAUAUCUUAAGGAUUAGAUUUACAAAAAUUUAAUUGAUCCUUCAAAAAACCUAAUCUUUUUUCAAGAUUAUGUAAAUAUUGAAAAGUAAAGUCAAGUUUGGUAUUGAGUUUUGGGACAUAAAAUCAUUUAUAAUCACAAUUUUGAAUAUAUUUCACAUUUUGUAAAAUUUUAUGAGGUGCUUAUUUAAAUUUUUUUAGGCUAAAUAACCAUGAUUUUAAAAAGCAUGUUAGAGGUUGUUUUUUUUAAAUUAAGUUUGUUUUUAUUUAAAUUUUUUUUUAAAUUGAGUCUUCACAACAAUAUCAAACUAAGAGUAAGUAACAUAAAAUCUCUUGAUAUAGCUGUGAGCCUUCAAGACACUCCGUUAAAUACUUCAAUUCUUAUUUAAUAUAUAUAUAUAUAUAUACACGUUGUUAGUUUUUCAUAUAGUCUUAACCAGACAUGCAAAGAUUUUAUAGACCCAGAAUCUAGUUCCUUGACGCAUGUAAAAUGCACCAAUUAUGCAGUGCAACACAAUGUCUGGCCGCUUUUCUAACUUCGGGAAUCGAGCUUAAGUUGAGAGCACACUCAACUAGACAAAAAUCAUUAGACCACUUGCGGUGGUUAUACCGUAUAUAUUUGUCAGCUAAGCCUGGGUAGCUAAUUAAAAAAAUAUGGCUAAUUAAUGGUCCUUUUUUGAAAUCAAAACGGAGACCAUCAAUUAUUUACUUAACAAUCUAACAACAUAGUAAAAUAGUAUGACAUUAACGAUCGAUUAAAUUAACACGCAUGUACUAGUUCCGCUCCGUCAAGUAAUUGAAGGAAACUAAACCUGUACACUGAAUAACAUCAUGUGUGUUAAAUGAACGAAAUUAUUGCUACUACACUUUGAACUCAAACUCACACACAUAACACUCACAAAAAGAUUCACUCCCAAAACAGAAAAAAGCAGCGAGAAGAAGAAUGUGAAUCAUGAGAAACACGAGGUACGUCAAGUAGCCAUCAUCACGAGCAGCGUCUGGCGCCGUCUGCUCAUUCCGUACUAGAGAAUUCAAGGCAUCCAAUAUGUGUGGACUUGUUUCAUCCAUCCAAACAAUAUUAACCCCAAAAAAGCUCCAAGAGAUUAAGGACAUCCAGGUUCAUUGUGAGCACCCAGGUCACCAAUUAUUAUUCUAAUUCCUGUUUUUAUUCAUGGGUUUAAUAGUUGGAAUUAGAUAUUUGUAUUAUUAAGUGCCGUCAUGCAUUGUUUCUGGUAAUUAAUCAAUAAUAUUGGGGACCUACUAGCUUUGUCCCUCCAAGUUAUGACCAGAAUAUGCUCAGGUUUGUGCUGUAUUAUCUUGGCAUAUCUGUUCAUACUUUUACGGUUUACAAUACAGAUCAGCGAAAUGUAAAACCUAGGUACCCUUUUACUAAAUCCGAUCCAUGGUGAAAAAUGACAUCUUCUUAAAUAGUUUCGUUUUAACAAUGUUCUUUUUUUUUAUUAACGUAAAAGGCUUUUUAGACCCAAUGUCAAGAUUCAAGCCUAGAUUGAGAGUUACACCCAACUAAACGAGUACCACUAUACCACUCACAAUGGUUUCUUGUUAAAUAGUUAUUAUCACAGUUACACACCCAACAUUUGAUCCAGUUACUAGGGUAAGUAAAAAAGUGAAACGAAACAGUCAGCCAGAUGAUAUGAAUUGAAUUGUAACGAAAAUGUUAAAAGCCAUUACGAUAGUGAACGUGUUGUAUGUACGGAAGUCAUAUGAGAAUACGGUUAGGAUUCAACGAGAUUAGGAUUCCUAGUCCAAUCGAAUAAAAAAUGAGGAAUUUGAUUCUAAGAAUGACUCCUGCUGCAUCUUUGGACGAAUAAUGGUACAAGUGAAUGGGAUCGGAAGGACAAGUCUUUCUAUCUAUUUGUUCUAUUAAUUCUCAAAUUAUUAUGAUUAUUACUAUCUAUUUUUCUCUUAGUGGUACAUCCUACUAUGAAAAAGCUUCAUCAACAGACAACAGUUAAGCGAGUAUAAGAAGUGAUCUGUAAUUUGACCUCCUUAAUUGAGGAGAAAUCAUUUGGAAGAACCUUCAAACUGAUCUCGCAGCAGCUCAUACUUCCUAAGCUCGGCUGUGGAGAGUGAGGGCGAUAGCUCCUUUAAGACCUAAGAUUAUCGGGGACAAAGGCAGUCAGUAGAUGCACCAGAAACUGGAUUUAGAACAAUUCUUAUUUGUCUUGUAAAAGCACAACAGUACUUGUGAUUAACUCAGACACUUAAACACAGUUCAGAAAAAGACCGUCGUACCUUGACAAAAUCAUCAUAUUCAACAAUAACAGAGUCAGGUUGGUCAUCUAUGGAAGAGGAAUCUGAAUCUGAACUCAAAACCUGCAUGAAUGGCAAGAAGCACGUCAGAACAUCCCUUUAUCUAGUGAGUAUUAUAUGAUAAAAGCGUAAAGCUUAUGAACAUUGUAUCUUUAUAUAAUCCAGAAUAUUGUUGAGAAUGCAGGAGCAUCUAGUAUUCUGACUUUCUGAGUGUUGCAUCUUGAUUUGUACAAUCAUGGGUCUCUCCAGUACUGUAUAAUUGAUUGUCUACGACUCCAAUAUUAACAGAACUGUAUCAGUCUCUUUGCUUUACUAACCAGUUAAGCUCCACUCACCAAUGCAUUUCCUAUUUCAUAACUAUAAUUGAACACACCUCAAAAUCAAUCCACGUCCUUUAUCAAAUAUGAACUACCCCUCUACACCCUGAAUAUAUUGGACAGCUUACACCAAUACUUUUGGUUCAAUCAAAACCAACCAUAAGCUCUGGUGUUGACUAGACUCACCUUACGCUUAGCUGCACUAAACCAAGCAUCCGCACACAAGGCAUACAUGUCUGCACCAGUGAAGGUUGGUGGACAUUUCUUCGCUAUUGAAUAAAGUGAAACAUCUUCAUGUAACUUAAACUUUCGGGUAAGAGCUUUGAGAACCCUAUAUAAAAAAGGAAAGAAAAAGAAUCAUCAUACUGACAACAAAAUUAUUCAAUGAUGAACUUACGUAAAAACCAACCGUUCUCUGUAAGAUGGAUCAGACACAACUCCAACAUAAAGCAACUUAUCAAACCGGCCAGGCCGUAGAAGUGCUGGGUCAAUUAGAUCUGGUCUGUUACUUGCUCCAAUUAUAAACAAGUCCUACAUUAAACCAAACAAGGCUUUUCUGUCUUAGUUGAGGAUAGCAAAAUACCCUGUGAGAUAUUGGAAAAAAGAAAAAGAAAAAUAACAAGCAAGAGACAGAGCAAACACCUGAGUUGAAUCAUUUAGGCCAUCAAUCUCUGCAAGCAUCUAGUGGAACAGAAAGUCACAGUCAGUAUCAAGGAAUAAAUGCAAAUUUUCCCAGUCAUAAAGAAGGAUGCUUCACCUGAGAAACCACUCUGUCCAUGACACCCCCAGAAUCCCCAGAUGCACCUCGGGCUGGAGCAAGGGAAUCAAGUUCAUCAAAAAAUAUAACACAUGGGCGUGCUGAUCUAGCCUGCAAAGCAUGUGCAAUACUGCUCUAGUGUGAGCCAAAAUAGAUGUUCUGAAAUUCAAGUAGAUAAACAACAAUAAACUUCUUCCAAAAGGCUAAUGAUCAAGCUGGAAUGUUUUACCUUCUGGAAAAUGUCUCUGAUAUUCUUUUCUGACUCUCCUAUGUACAUAUUAAUGAGUUCAGGUCCUUUUACACUGAGAAAAUUUAGGGAGCACUCAGUUGCAACAGCUUUUGCCAGCAGAGUCUGAGGGUUGAAGUCAGAAAAACAAAUGAGUUUAACAAAUCUCUUGGGGUAAAUGAGAGGGAAAAUAGAGAAAACCUUAGAGGAGUAACUGUAACUUACUUUCCCUGUUCCCGGUGGACCAUACAGUAGAACACCAGAACGCUUUCGUAAGCCAGAUGAAAACAAGUCCUUGUGCAGAAGAGGUAACUAGAACAAACAACAAAGAAGAAUUGAGUUGAUAAAGCGUUCCAAAUUCCAAAUUGCUGGAAUCUUCCUGGUGGACAACAGGUAAAAAGUGUAGAUACAACAGACCUACCUGUACAGUAUCCAGGAUUGAUUUCUUCACAUCCUCAAGACCACCAACAUCUUCCCAUUUGACGUUAGGAACCUAUAGAGAAUAUGAUUUAAAUUGCAUUAGAUGUCCUAUAAGUAUACUACUUCCACGUUUGUUGCAAUAUAAAACUCAUUUUUUAGCCCCACAGAAGAGGACACACUUAGACAUCACCCAAUACAGAGAGCUUGAUAGGAAAGGACAAUAUAUCAUUCCUCGAAAUUAGUCUUGUCUCUCAAUUACCUUUGGAGUACCAAGGGCUGAUGCAUUCCUUUUCUUUGAUCUGUCCAAUGCUUUUGUCAAGCUUUCUUUUCCCAGAAUCGGAGAUGUGACUUCACAGGACUUACUGUCUGAUUCGACAUAAUCUUUGAGAGAAGCAUCUGAUUCUUCAGACUUCACUGUGUCAAUCUGAGCAUUGCCUUUUGGAAUCAAGUUUGCACCAGCAUCAGCAACCAAUGCACAGAUAUCUCUGGGCAUGAAACCAGAUGUCUGUGCAACUAUAUCCUUUAUAAGAUCCUCCGAAUCAGUCUGCAAAAAAACAAUUCUGAUCCUUUUAAGUCACGAGAUGAUCAAAAGAAACUACAAUUAAUACCAUGUAGAAUACAAAGGCGUACAGAACUUGUUUAUGGACUUCAAGAUUCACAUUCAGUUAAAAUCUGAAAAGUGACAGAUGGAGAGUUUACCAUUUGACAACACUGCAUUAGGCAUUACAUAUAAUUAUAUAAAAAAUUGCUACCCGAAGACAUAUUUAAGCGAUGUCAAUACUUGGUGCGACCAUGAUAAUUUUUUAACCACACCAUAGGAAUGCGGCAAACCAUCAAAUUGGGGGGGGGGGGGGGGAACGGUGGUGGAUAUAACACUUGUUUUGGUCAUACCCAACCAUCGAAAGCCAGAGGAAAAAAAGUAUUUAAGCAUCAGAAUCACGGUAUCAUCAAGGGAGAUCUUGACUGAAAAUUAUUAUACCCAAUCAAUAUAGAUGCUGAGCCCCAGUGCUUGACAGGAGCUCAGAUGAGAACAGGUGUCAGAUAAAAAACAAUUCUUGGCCCACCAGGUAGCAGCUUAGGCUUUUGAAAUCAAUAGCAAACCAACAAAACGUAUGCAUCAUAAUCAUAUUUAUAAUAGACUGCACACAUAAAAGGUUAGGAUUUUCCAACAAAACUUAUGCAUGAUAUACUUCUAAUAGAAAACACAUAUAAAAGGUAAAGAGAAACCAAACAUAUUUUUUACAUACAUUAGAAAGGAAUUCGGAAGCCUUCUGCAAAGACUCUGAGACCAUUUUAACCCUUUGUUCUUCAGUCAAUGGACCCAUACUUAUUUCAUGGCUAAAGCAACGUCUAAUAGUUGGCGGUAGACCUUCUGAACUGUCAGCAGCUGCAAUUAACAGCACUUGAUGCCUACCUACUUUCCCAGAAUCCUGCAUGCAGUGUAGUAUUAUUAGGUUGGUCAGAUUAGAAAACAAAAAACAACAUAGCAAUCAACAAAAGAGGAGAAGUCACACAUGAAAAAUGAGUGAGGACUAGAAUUUACAUCAACUAAUGAUCAUUUCUCAGAACCGAAAUUAAUUAAUCAUACAUAAGAAUAACCCAAGACACAAAAUAUGGCACUAAAGCCAUGUACUUACAGUAUGACCAUUUUGUUUUUGUUCCAUAUCUCCAGAAUCAAAAAUUGGCUCAGUGAAUUCCCUUAUAAGUGAUGCAACUUCAGAAGUGAUGCCAACUUGAUCAUUUGGUGAACCUUCUUGCAAAUUCCGGAAAACAUCAAAAUGGCGGAGAAGAAGUAUAGUUGGCGAGUAUCUGAAAGAACAUUGCAUAAGAACGAACUGGAACAACCAUUGAAAGUAGGAAACUUAGGUGCAACAAAAUUGAAGGAUAUGGCAGAGAAAGUUCUCCCAUCAAAUGAUAUAAUGGAGAAGGAUAAAAUAAGGAUAGAGUAGUAUGACUGUUUUCUCAUAUAUCAUCGAAGAAAAGUUGUAUAGCUAAUUAGUGAAACAAUAGGUAACAAUAACUGCUGCUGUCAAGCAUAUAUCAUAAAAAUGCAGUAGUAACAGAGGAAAUUUGGGACCUCUAGCAUGUAUCAUACUCAAAAAAUGCAUUGCUUUACCUUUGAGCAGCAUUCAAGGUUUGGGCUAGUGCAACAGAAAUCUUUUUUUCAGAUGACGUCGUCAGAUUAUGACAGCUAUAUUCAACUACAUGCAGGCCCAAUCGACGAGCAACAUAUCUAAUAACCGUUCUCUUCCCACAUCCUGCACCAAGCAUCAAAUAACUACUCAAUGACACUAAACUCAUGUGCGCAUGAAACAUACAACUUAGGCAACUCAUCCAGGGUAAUCAUUCUUUUCCAUAAGUGGUAAUAGGUUAAAGAACUAUAUUACAUAUUGAAUGCUUAAUCCCAAGGGAUCUUGUUAGAGAGUAGAGACCUUGCGAAAUUAAAUAUAAAUGCAACCAUCAAGUGUUCAUGACAAAAAGGAAAGCUUCAAUAUACCUGCCAAUCCAUACAAUAGGACAGAAACUCUGAAUUUUGAGGAUAGUGCUGAGGGGCACAGAAGCGGAGUAAGUAUGGAGGCCAACAUUUUCACUGUGUCCCCUUGCAAAGGUACAAAACCUUUUUGUCCAGCAAUCAAUAAAUCAGGGGGCACAGCAGAAGAGACGCUUCCUCCAAGCACAAGGGCAGUUUGAGAACGGUUAACUCGGAGAAUUGGUUUGUCCAAAGGUUCCAUAGCCACAACCUAAGACAACAAAUGACACGGUGAUUGUCAUUAUCACAUUUGUUGACUAGAAAUUGCAACUGAUGAAAAGCACUGAGAAUUCACCUUGAAAUAGAUAGUGUUAUCAACCCCAUUUUCCAAACUUUGGUCGCAAGGAACGCAAACCAUUGACUUGCAAUUCCACUUUAUACAAACACUGAAAACAUCACCUCUUGCUAGAUACCUAUCAACCUCAAAGUAGCUAUGCAGUGCCGAAUCUAUCAUUUCUUGACGAUCUUCAUGUUCAACAGCCGAAUUCCCUCUAAGAGAGUCAAGACUACCACAUUCCGGUACCUUCACAAACGAAGCCCUCAAGUGCGAAGCAUAUCUCGGCAACUCCAAAUGCGGCUGUAUCCCAAUCACAGAACCCCCAAUCCCUUUCCCACUCGCCUCAUCAUCCACCCCAUCCCCAAAAUAAGACGCCAACGCCGCUUCCCCUCUGUGAACAAGCGAUUUCAAGCACAAUGUAUGCAAGUCAAUGUUAAACGCCAACAUAGGCGACAUAUACGCAACUUCCUGAUCUAACAACAUGUGGCCAUUUCCAGGCAAAGUGCAACAAGGCAGAACAAGCAUUGCGUGGGAAGACUGGCCAGCAGAUAGUUCAGUGUUCUCGGAGCGGUCCGGUGGAUCCACAACAAUGACCUGAGCAAUUCUUUGUAUGUUUGUCUCCAUAUUCUUCACAAGCACCUUGUUUAUACAAAUCAAAAUCAAAGGAAAAAAAAAAACACUAAAGCAUCAAUUACUUGCUGUGCAGAAUUUUCCACAUGAAAUUAACGCUAAAAUUGAAGUAAUUAAAGAAAUUACAGCUCCUCCUACAAUUGAAAUCCGAAGAAUUAAAGAGUAAAUUUAGCAGAGAGAAAAGAGUAGAUGGAUUUGGAUACCAGGGAGCCGGAGGUGAUGUAGAGGCGUUUGAGGAGAGAAGUGGAGAGGCCGACGAGAGCAGAGUCGUCGAGAGAAGCCGAUUUGGGGCUCCGGUCGACGUAGAAUCGGAGAAUUCCCGGCGGAAGCAGCUGGAAGCUGGUGGUGACGUCAUCGGAGGCGGAGAGUGGGUGAUCGUCGCCGGAGGUGAGGCCUCCCGGCGGGGAAGAGAGUAGGGAUUUGAUGAGAGUUUUAGUGGAAGUGAGUACUAGUGGCUUCCUCCUCCCCACCAUUGGAAACUAGUGAGCUCUCUCUCUCUCUCUCUCUCUUUGGGGAACAAGUUCAAAUUUAGUUGCAUAGUAGUAUUUAUAUGAAGGUAGAGAGAGAGAGGUGGGUUGGAUUAGAGUGAGGAGCGCAUUUCGAUAGAAAGUAAAAAGGGACAAAAAAGUUAAAAAUGGAGAUGCGGGGUAUCGAUCCCCGUACCUCUCGCAUGCUAAGCGAGCGCUCUACCAUCUGAGCUACAUCCCCAACUUGACAGCUCCGGGAUUAUGCGGAUUAUUAACCUUCAUAAAGAAAAGAAAUGUGAAUUAUGAGUGAUAAAAUAUUGUGUGGCAAAAGUUUUAGUGUUUCAAAGUAAUGAAAUUCUAGAGUCCAAUAAAGAAUGUUGUUUUACGAUUGUAAGAAUUCAGUUGUACCAACUUUUCUUUCAUAUAGAAAGAGGUAGCGGAAGCUUUGUGAUUACAAAACAACUCUUAACAUGGUAUAAGGAAAGGUUGUUGUGUUGGAAGACGGACAACCUUAGCUUCUAUGCGUGCCUGAUUUGGAGGAAAGAAUCUUGCAAGAUAUGGAUAUAGACUUGUGCAAUCUCUAUGAAUGUAGACCCAUCAAUAAACCAGGUAGCACAAACAGCUCUUCAACUAAGCUCAAGUCCUCAUCUCCAUAGCUACCUACUCAUCCAUACAAGGCAGCUUGUGCAAUCAAGUCCAAUGACCUUUUUCAAUGACUAUACAAAACUGUUUGCCUGUCUCUCUCUCUCUCCCUAAUAUGUCUUCAAUCUGAUAGAAACAACCAGCUGGGAGAAACAAAAUGAACAAAGUUUCAAUUCCACAUAGAAGAUUGAUCAAUGAUGGAGCUUUUCACAAUAUAUUUAUUGACAGAUCCACAAAACCAACAGUGUUGAACUGUUGAUUAAGUUGCACAACUGCAGAUUUAUGCAUCAGAGCCUUAAAUAGUUAAAGCAUGUGAUCGGGUGCAUGUAGGUGCCCUUAUAAUUACUUCUGCAAUUUUCAAGCCGGCCUGUUGGCUUAACAGGCCUAUCAAAGCAGCAAGGAAAGUGUGCAUAUGAUGUGCGCUCUGAUCCUCCAGUUCUCUCCGAAGCAGGCUGCUGCUGCAUGUUUAGUUUGCUCUUCAACCAACCUCAACCCAGUAGCCAGCAAUAUAGAGUUGCUACUGCAUUAAAUCUACUAAUGACUGUUUCUAAUGAAACUAGAGAAGAAACAUGUAAAUAUCUCUUACAUUAAUGUUAUCUACUAGGUUCAGUAUCAGCUAAGCUAAUUUUUCAUUCCUCCAAUGCAAACUGAUUUCGUUUACCUUCAUCUUCUUCGACCAUUAUAGAGUAACCCUAAAGCUCUGGAAUCAAGAUCAAAGGAUGAUCCAUAGCACCACACCAGGGUUGUUGGUUCUUAAACCAGUUUAAGUAGAUAACUGGAUAGAGACGAACCGAGUCUCUAAUGAAACCAAUAAGAGAAUGAUAACUGCAGCAACUAUAGUUUAGCUUUUCACAUUUUUGACAAACCAUAAAACCAGUAAGAGCCACAACAGAGCACAUUCCAUUGCUGCCGAUCAAAUACCUAAUUGUUAAUGCCAAUUUGAUGUAACAGGACAUGAUAAAUAAGACAGUGAUUCCCUUAAAGGAACAGCUAUUUUGUAGACACUAGUUGACAAACCUCUUUCAAAUCACCACUAGGCUUCUUCACAAACUUUCUUGCAGCACCUCCAGAUUCAAAGCUACCCCCCCAGAAAUGUUGCAGCGUCACCAAGAUCAUACAUCCUGCACAUAUACUUUGCCUUGGUAUACAUCCAACAAUUGAGGUACUUGGUCGAGAUAUCUGGUGACAAACCUACUAAAGAAGCACUCCUCUGAAGGCACAAACACAUAAGACAAACUCAACUUCUUCUCUUCUAUCAGUCCUUUCAACAACAAAACUCUAACAACCGAACACCGAGGGAUGAUUCUCUUCUCCAAGCUGUACACAAAAACAUACGGAACCUCCGCAAUUUUUCCUGAUUCCCAUCCCAUCUUGUUCACUAAGAAAUCCAUUGUCACCAUUAUUUUCUUCUCAGACACCAUCAUACACAGUGGAUGCCUCUUGAAGGCAGAAAGAAUAUCAUUAUCCGACCAACCCCACCUCCUAUAAGCCUCUUCCUUAUGUCUCCAUGUUGUUUUCUUCCAGGAUAAUACGACCAUGGCUUGCACAAAGUUCACAUUUCCCGGGUCAAAUCCCAUUUCUGCGACUUGGCGGACUAAUUGACUGAAGAAUUCAGGCUUUCUCGUCACAGUCUUACUAAAACAUGCUACCAACCGCGCAAGAGCCGAGUGGGGCAUGCCCAACUCUGUAACAAGUCUAAUAUUGGGUUUAACAUUCUUGGAUAGAUUUUCCAAGAAAAUGGAUGAGUUCUGUUUUAGAGUACGAACGACCUUGACAUCAGAGAUCACCACGCUUUUGAGGAAGUUAUAACAGGGUAUAAGACUGUUUUCCAAGCUUCGCGUCAAUAGAUUUGGGUUGUAAGUCAUUAUUUUUGCAAGGUCGAGCCUUGACAUCCCUAUGGAGCAGAAAAACUCAAGCUUUGGCAAAAGGGUCUUCUUCGCAUUGGCUAAGAUAAGUUGCGGGCGUCUCCGCACAAGAGUUGAGAUCUGGGUAUCUGAGAAUUCAUACUCUCUCAAAAGGGCUAGAACGGAGUUUGGUUGCUCUAAAGAUCGAAGCUGUACCUUGUGGGCUGCUAGAGUAGCGGCUUUUGGGGACAACCCACAUGAGCGAAUGAGGUAAGAGAGUGUAGGAUUGUCUUGGGCUGCUGGGAUUAUCGAGCUGCUGAUGAACCUUCGACCAAAAUGAGAAGCAGCUACUGCAAAUGCUUGAUUUCUGUACAGAAGACUUGAAAACAUUGGGUGUGCGGAUCCGAGGCUCUUGCCGAAAAUGUAGAAGAGUGCCAUGCUCCACUCAUUACUUCAUUAGAGAGAAUUGGAGUAUUGGAGAUGGCCAAUUUUGGGUUCCCAAUUCAAAACGCACUAGGGUUUUGGUUCUCCCAAAUGAACCUCAUCUACUGUCGUCUUUUGCUUUUCCCACUUACUCUUGAAAUGUUGAGAGAGUGAAUAUAAUCUAUAAAUAUAUAGAGGGACUAAUUUAGCCCUCAAAGUUUUACAGAUGUAAAUAACGAGGUGGCAUACUUUCAGUCGAGAUCACAAAUUUAUAUAAUGCCGUUUUGAUUUUUUCAAAACAUAAGACACCUAAAUUACGAGUAGGUCAUUUAUCGUGUACAAUUGUUAAAAAAUUUCCGCACAAAUAAUGUAUUGUUGAUCUCAGCUGCGACAUCAAGUGAGGGGUGAGAUGAAGCUACUCUGCUCACUUUUGACAUCUGCUCACUGAUCUACUCUGCAUCACUGAUCUGCAUAUAGGAUUUAGUAAAGUUAAUAUGAACAUUCUAGUUUUCUAAUUCUGGAUAUAGCUCAUGAUGUUAUGAUCAUUUUUGUGCUUAGUCUAAAACUUGUCAUUUCGAUAAUGUUUGAUACUAGGGAGUAUUAUAAAGCCGAAAAAGGAAAAAAGAGACCAGGGGUAGCUCAGGAAUUCGAGGAAAGUUGAUCAACUAUAUAAAUGAAACAUUAUUUACAGAAGAUUUCCACUUCCAGCUACAUUCCUCCUGAUUGUGCAUUCAAAUUGAAGUAGAUGAAUAAAUCGAUCUAGAGAGUGUGAUUAGUGAGCCACAGAGAGGCAGAAACUAUAAACUAAUGAGUUUCAAUUGAGUUUUUCACAAUAUUGACAGACCUCAAAAACUAAGCAGUGAUAACAUAGAUGACAUUCAAUUUCUGCGCAUCAAAUAUCUCAUUGUUCAUAACGAAUUCAGGUAACAAGACUCAGACCGAUUACAAACAGUUGGUGUUCUCGUAAUCAAAACAAGUAAAAUCAAGGCUGAGGGAACACAUGAGAAACCUGUUUCUGUUCUCGUAAUCAAACAAGUAAAAUCAAGGGUGAGGGAACAUAUGAGAAACCUGUUUCUUAUCCAGACUUGGGAGGCUAAUUCAGUUUUCUCUGGUAAUGCCUCUGAGAUGUGACACUAUCAGCCUAGCAACUAUGUUACCUUGUCCACUUCCAGUUUGCCAUGGUACACAUUCAACAAUUCGGGUACACUGUCGAGAAAUCUGGUAACAAAGUUACUCAAGAAGUACUUGUCUGGCACCCUUAUAACAGUAGCCAAACUCAAGUUGUCCUCCUUGAUCAAUCCUUUCAGAAGCAAAACUUUAACAACCGAACACCUUGGUAUGAUUCUCUUCUCCAAGCUGUAGCAUAAAACAUGGGGAUAUUUUGCAAUCUUGUGGGAAUGCCAACCCAUCUUGUUCACUAAGAAAUCCAUUGUUUCCAUUAUUUUCUUCUCAGACUUGGUCAUGCAUGGUGGAAACAACUUAAAAGGCAGAAAGAAUAUCAUUAUCAGACCAAUCCCAACUCCUAUAAGCCUGUUGACAUCGUUUCCAUGUCGUCCCUUUUAAAGAUAAUGCCUGCAUAGCUUGCACAAAGCUUGACUUGUGAGGGUCAAAUCCCAAUUGUUGGACUUCACCCACAAGUUGACUGUACAAAUCAGGCUUCCUCAUCACACUAUGAGCAUAAUAUGUUAGCAACAAAGCAAUACAUGAUUCCGACAUGCCCAAUUCUCUCAGAAUCUGAGUAUUGGGUAUCACAUUCUUGGAGAGAUUUGCUCUGAAAAUCCAUGAGCUCUGCUUCCAAAUAUUGACGACCUUGACAUCAGAGACCACCACGCUUUUGAGGAAGUUAUAACAGGGUACAAUAAAGUUUUCCAAGCUUCGGUCAAAGAGCAUCGAGUUGUAGGUCGGUGUUUUUGCGAGGUCGAGCCUUGAGAUUCCUAUGGAGCAGAAAAACUCAAAGCUUUGGCAAAAGGGUUUUCUGGGUAUCGGUCAUCAGAAUACGUGGGUGUUUCCGCACCAGAGUUGAGAUUUGGGUAUCUGAGAAUUCAUACUGUCUCAAAAGGGCUAAAACAGAGUCUGGUUUCUCUAAAGAUUGAAGCUUUACCUUGUGAGAUGCUUUAAUGGCGGCUUCUGGGGAGAGAGACCACAAGAGUUGACCAGGUAAGAGACCGUGAAAUCGUCGGUCAGUGUUGUUGUACAAAACCACUGACUUUGAAGUCCUUCGAACGGGAUGCGAUAUCUGCAAAACAGACGUGAAAAUGGGUAUGACAGGGUCUUGCUGCAAAUGUAGUCGUGUGCCAUUGGAAUUUGCAACACCGAUUAGAGGGAUGGGAGGAGUCCCAAUUUCACUGCACUCUAGGCAUUUUAUUUUUUAUUUUUAAACAGAGAUGGAAAGGUUUUAAUUUUUUUUUUCACUGUUGAGAAAACAUUGAGCUUUUUAAUUUGUAUGAUACCUGAACUAUGGAACUAAUGUCUAUUGCAUUAUGGUUAUAGUUCAGGUACCAUAUAUGAGGAUUUUUCCUACAAACAUUGAGCUUUUCACAUAAUUGACCACAAAACCAAUGAGCUUUUCACAGUUUUGGUAUAGAAUGAGAGAAAUUCAUACAUCAGCUAUAUCACAUCCAACAAUUGAGGUACUUGGCCUGAGAUAUCUGUUCACAAAACCUAUCCGAAAAGUACUUCUCCUAGACAAUAUGGGAGAAUUGCACAGAACUGGCUUUCAAAAUCCUAGAGUUUAGCAUAUUAUAAACAGCAGAACCCCAAAUUUCUAAUCCGUUCUCCUGUACUUCUAGCUCCAGCACUCGGAUCAUGAACAUGUUCCAGUUUUCCUUGUCCAGGUCAAGGUCGUCACCAGCAUAUCCUUGUAUGAUUCAACUUCACCAAUAACUAUGUCAGUAGACAAUUUUCAUGAGCAAGUUACACAUAAGUAUUACAUGCCUUUGAAGUAGACGAAUGCCCAAAUGCUCAACACACUCUAUGACCAAACAAGGGUCAUUCCUUUGGGGUGCGUUUUGUAGCUCAUGCAUCUUAUGUACAAUGAAAGCAAGAUGUUGGUGCUAACUGUUUACGUAGUACACUCCUGAAUCGCAUGAUCAACCUAUGUCUUCCAGUUCUGGUCAGCCUUGCCUUCGACGUGGAAGCUUUCCUUCUCAACUGAACUGAACUACUCAACUCAUGUAAAUCUGAUCCUGAUGGGUGCUGUGUUGAAUUGAAUGUAAACCCUAAACCAAAUUCAAUAAUUCAAUAUUCACUUCAUGUGUGUAUAUAUGUUGCACUGUAAUCAUUAUUUUCAAUGAUUAUGAUAAAAAUGGGUUGGAAAUUGAUGCUUUAGUUUCUUCUUCCCUGUCUUCUAUAGACCAUUUGCAUGCCUUAUUCUUUUAUAUUUGAUAUUGGUAAAUAAAACAUGUCUUGUCUAACAGUGUUUUAGAUACCACUCGCGUGUUGCUGCGGGGUAGGAUUUCUUGAUGAUGACCAAUAUUCAAUCCUCAUUUCACGCCUCCUAUGCCAUCACCUUUUCUAAAUCUACCGCUGAUUCUCCCGUCUUUCCCUAAUUUUUCACAAACACAUCCAUCUUUCCCAAAUCCACCACCAACAUCAUGGCCUCAUGCCUGCAAAAUCCACCGCUCAUCUCCAAUUCUACCACCUCCUAUUCCGCCACCUGCACAAAAUUCACCAUCAACCCCAUAGCCUCUACCAUCAUUUUUUAAUUCCACCACCAUACCAUAGCUUUUCCCUUGCCAAAACCCACCAUGGACAGCUCUGAUCCUAUGCCCACAACCAAGUAAAAAAUAGAAAAUAAAGAAGUAACAAAUUUUCAAGGACACAAACGUCUUUUUGAUCAGAAAAAUUGAACAUUUGCAAAUAAAUUUGUAUUAAGAGGUAACACAGUCUUUUUAGUCAGUAUAAUGGUAGAUUUGUAAAUAAAUUACAUUAAAGGGUAAAAAAGAUAAGGGGCAAAAACACAAUUCACCAGAACUUGAGGGCAAAAACACAAUUCAUCAAAGAUAUAAACAGUGUUUUUCCCCUUGUUGUUUUAUUUUAUAGAAUGUUGAUGAGUGAUGACCCAAAACUCUCAAGUCAUCUACGGCCAACACAAAAGUGAAAUGAAAACAGUAGAGCCAUCUCAGACCUUAAGUCUUCUCUAUGAACUUAGACUUGAACUUUAAAAGAGCACAUAACAGCAGAUGAAGCAAUCUAACUAAAUGAUCAUGGGUAAGGUGGUGCUGGGUCAAUAUUUUUGAAUAGCUCAACCUUUAUAUGGUUUGAAGAGCAGCCUGUACCUGAUGAACACCAACAGAACUCAGAGACCCCUCACGUUUUACAUAUUAGAAAAACCAAAUUCCUUCAUGUGGCAAUGUGACAUGAAGCAAUAGACAAUGUGACAUUGCCUGAUAGGUUCAUACAACCAGUUCAAUAAGCACUCGAGAUGAUGCAAGUAUAAAGUAAUGAUUCUUGAUCAAGAUAUUUUAAGGAACAGAAAAUCAAUGCGAGAUAAAACAGGACACUUACCAUUAACUGAGAACCUCUUCAAAAAUUCCACUCCUUCCAUUUCUUCUAGAAGAGCCUCAGAGUUCAAGACUAUAAAUCCAAUUUACAGUGUCAUCAAGAACAUACAUUCUGCACAUACGCUUUGCCUUGGUACACAUCCAACAGUUGAGGUACUCGGCUGAGAUAUCUGUUCACAAACCUAUCCAAGAAGUACUCCUCCAACCUCGAAAGAACAUUAGCCAAAUUCAACUUCUCCUCCCCUAUCAAUCCUUUCAAAACCAAAACUCUAACUGAAAACCUCGGGAUGAUUCUCUUCUCCAAGCUGUAAAAAAAUCUCCAAGCUGUAAGAAAAAACAUGGGGAUAUUUUGCAAUCGUGUGGGAAUCCCACCCCAUCUUUUUCACUAGGAAAUCCAUUGUGUCCAUUGGUUUCUUCUCUGACAACAUCAUACACAGCGGAUACGCCCUGAAGGCAGAAACACAAUGAUCCUCAGACCAACCCCACCUCCUAUAAGCCUCUCGACAUCGUUUCCAUGUCUCUUUUGCAGCCAAUACAUUCAUGGCUUGCACAAAACUUGUCUUCUGAGGGUCAAAUCCCAUUUCCUUGACCUCACCCACAAGUUGGCUGAACAAUUCAGGCUUUCUCGUCACGAUACCAGCAUAAUCUGUCAGCGACAAAGCAAUACACGACCCGGGCAUGCCCAAUUCUCUCACAAACUCACUAUUCGGCACUACUUUCUUGGAUAAGUUACUUGCGAAAAUAUAUGAGCUGCGCUUCCAAGCACUGACGACCUUGACAUCAGAGACCACAACGCUUUUAAGCAUGUUAUAACAGGGUACAAUAAAGUUUUCCAAGCUUCGCAUCAAAAUAACUGGGUUGGAGGUCAGUACUCCUGCAAGGUCGAGCCUUGAGAUUCCUAUGGAGCUGAAAAACUCAAGCUUUGGCAAAAGGGUUUUCUGGGCAUUGGCGACCAGAAUAUAUGGGUGUCUACACACAAGAGCUGAGAUCUGGGUAUCUGAGAAUCCAUAGAGUUUCAAAAGCGCUAAAACGGAAUUUGGUUUCUCUAAAGAUUGAAGCUUUACCUUGGGGGAUACUAGAGUAGCGGAUUCUGGGGGCAAUCCACACGAGCGAACCAGGUAAGAGACUGUACAAUCGUCUUGGACGGGUCUGGUACAAAACAGCUGCUUCUGAAGACCAAACUGUGAAUCCAAUCCCUCCACUGGGUGCUCAUAGUUUCUAAACACACGAGCUGAUCUGAAGACCCUUUUGAAAAUGGAGAAGGCGGCCAUACUGAUACCCUACUGUUUCAGAGUGAGGAGAUUGUUAAUCCCCCGUUUGGGAACUCUUCUAUUAAAUAAGAUUUUGGAACCCUUUCAAGUAGUGCAGCAUACCCAUUGCCAGUAACAUUGUGACAAAACACAACAAGGUUAAUACUUUGCAGUUUGCCGUUCGUCUUGGAACUUAGACUCAAAACAUUCAACUCCUUUUAACUCGUUUCUUGUUGAUACAACGUAUAGGUGCCUCUGAUAAGAAAAAGAAACAAAAAGACGUGUAUACCGAGAACCUGUAUCUUCUAUAUAUAAACUUACUAGUGCAAUAUCCGAACGAACAGAAACCUAUUUAGUAUCCUCAUCAGAAUUCUCUACUCGAAUCCAACUCAAGCAGGAUGGACUAAUUUCUGGGAGAGAAGAGCCUGCAGGGAUCCAGCCUCAGCUACAGGCGGACUGCAAGUAAAGUUUUGGCAGACAAGAGCAACCACUUUGUCUGCGGCAAAAUGACUCUUUGCCAUCAGAGCGAUGUUGCUGUUUUUGUCUUCCCAGAAUUGCAUCUCUUCUGAAUUUGUUGGAUCUAUGUGAAUAACCUGUCAUUGGUUGCACAACAAAGUGGUGUUUACUAAAGAAGAUCAUAAGAUAUUCCAGAAAAACUGCAGCGUUACAACUUGCAUAAGUUCACUACUCACUGUUUUGUUGGUAUCAUAUGACGCAUGAGCUGCAGCCAGCAUGGUCUCAAACUCAUCACUUCUCUGGCCAACCAAGACAACUUGCUUCCGAGAAGGGGCAGUGAGCAUGUCAGAGGCACAACACAUUAAGGGUACUGCCAUGGCCAUGUCCUUUAAUCUCUUCUCAAAGACCGCCUGUCAACAGAACAGAAAAUGAAAGGCUCAAUAGAGAUAUAUUCCUGGAUAGUGAAUUUGUAAGAUCAGAAUUUUGGUUUACGAACCAGAACAUGUUCAGCUUCCUGUCUGUAAUGCUCAGACUUGUUGCCAGAUAGUAAGGAUGCCAGUCUCACAAGGUUGAUCACAGAAACCGAGUUUCCGGAGGGCUCUGCCCCGUCAUGAUCUUCCUUCACACGAAGGAGAACAUUGGGGUCAUCACCUGGGGUAUUGAAAUAGCCGCCUCCCUCUUUAUCAAGAAAUAUUUCAUCCUGGAAAAUAUGUCAAACAAACUCGCAUCAAGUCUAGGGAAGAAGGUGAAAACUACAAGACUUAGAGAUGGCGGAUAAUAUUUCUUGCCUGCAUUUCUUGCAGUUCAAUUGCCCAAACUAGCCAGCUGGUUUGACCACCAAAUUCAUAAAGAUCCAAUAAUCCUGAAAUAAGAAAAGCGUAAUCAUCUAAAAAUCCAGGUGCUUUAGAUGGGCCGUUCCUGAAGCUGCGUUGCAGUCUAUGAGAAUGCUCAUUGUAAAGGUGUCGCCUGAUAAAAGAUGCUGCCUUUUCUGCAACUUCAACGUACUCCCGUGGCUGACAUAUUUGUGAUGUAACACAUCAGAACAAUCAGUGAAGUAAAAAGAUGUCCACCGAUGUGACUAUCAUGGUUAACCUUACAGGCCCCCUGCCCUACGAACUGAUAAUUAUUACAUUACAUCUAAAAUGGAAAACAUUAAUUAUUAAGAAAAUGUUUUACUAAAAGAGAUUACGCCGUGAAUGUAACACUCAAAACUUCAAAACUAGUACACAAGUCCAAUUUCCCAUAAAUGAAAACGAAUUCAACACUAGGCAUUUUCCAAAACCACCAAACCUUCUUUUCCACGUAUAUUAACAACUCGUAUGACUACUAAUAAAGUGAAAGUCAGUGAAGGCUUACAUCGCAACCAACAACAGGGAAGUUAAAUUUGAUCUCCUUGGGUUCAUUCUUCAGAAUUUUAGAAGCUCUUGCAAAGGCUGAGAUGGCCAGUCCAUUCCAUGCUACAAUUACCUGGCAAAAUCUGAUUUAUCAAUUUCUGGGUGACAGAUAAAAAGAAAAGGAUAACAGAAUGAGGUGAAUCCUACGAAAAUUUGAAUUGAGAGAGUAACACCUUGUCAUCCAAAUGUGGUCUCGGUCGACUACAUCUUAUUUCAAACAGCUUUUGCCUGCUCCGACCCAGAAUAUCGAGGUAUUUCUCAACCGCCAUAGAAAAUUUUGAUGCCUCAGAUUCACUUUUUCUCUCAAUGAGCACAUUCUUACCCUUAAAUUCAUUAUGAGGAUCACUCAUUCUAGAGAGGUCACAGUUACCUGAAGGCUUUAUGUAAUAGUGGUUCUUAAAAAGUGUUGCAUCUUCCCCAAUUAUAUCUUCAACCUAAAUAGAAUCAGACACUUAAUAACAGAAAGAGAAAAAUAACACAGUAGACUAAAUAUCACUAGUGACAGAUAAAAUUCACACCAUUGAAGUAACUCUAAUGCAGACACACAGCCAAAAUUAGGGAAAUGCUAAAGUCGAUGGAGAAACCUCUUUGCUAGACCAAACAUAGAAUGCUCCUUCCUUUUUCCUAGUAGCACCUUCAGAUUCAGCACUAUCAGCAUCUUCAGCUGAAUAUAUUUCGCCUUCUAGUCCAAUCAUAUCUCUCCUCAGAUAAUCAAGAACAUCCCGAGCAAUAGAUGCAUAGAAUACAUCUUUGGUGAUAGAAAAUGCAUCUAGGAAGACAUUAACAAGUUGGCCUUGAUCAUACAACAUCUUCUCAAAGUGUGGUACUGCAACAUAACACAAUAAUCUGUUACAAAUAUGAACCAGAGAAAAGAGAUACUGGGCAUGGUGACCAUGAAACAAAUGCAUUCGAUUAAAUAAACAGGUCACUCUGCAAUCAUGCCUGUCAAGUAGAGAUUUGAUGGAAGUAAAAUUCUAUAAAAAGAACUAACCAUGCCAGCACUCAUCCACACUAUAUCGGUGGAAGCCACCUCCUACGUGAUCGUGAAUUCCCCCUCUUGCCAUACAUUGUAAGGUGAAGAGAACCUGUCUCACAACUUCAUCGGCAUUGGCAGGACUUCCAGUCUCCUCCAACUUCUUUGAAUAAUAAAGCAUCAGCUGAAUCUCAACCGGUCUAGGAAACUUUGGGGCUGAUCCAAACCCACCAAACUUCGAAUCAUAACUUUGAGAAAGCUUUAAGAAGAUCAAAUAAAUGCAAAUGCAUUAGAGCUGACUUCUUGUGCAGCAAGAGAAACAAUAAUACACGACUCAUGUUUUUCACCACAAAGUUGAAUAUACGACUCAUGUUUUCCACCAAAUAGUUUCAUUACGAGCUCCCUCUUCUUUGAAGCUUAAUGAAACAUCAGUGACUAUUUGCCCAAAACAAAAAAAAAAGGUGACCAACAUGUUUCCCAAAAUGCCCUUAUUAAAAAGUGAAGAACAGAAAGAAAGUUAUUAGGUAUGCAGCAGGUCUUUGACUUGCAACACCAAAAGCUCAUAAGUAACAGUAUGGUUCAUGGCUCGUCGCAAACAGAUAAGAAAAUUCUCAAAUAAGGCUACAUACUUGCUCAGCACAUAGACGCAAAGCAUUCUUUGGAACCCCAUCUGACAAUUUUUUAGAACUUGCACUCGUUGACAAGGCUUCUGACAACUGUUCAAUAGCAAAGGCUCCACUCUUAACAAGCGCAUCCCUCUUGGUCUCCCAGGCUUCUUUCACCUUUCUGAAGCAAAAGGUGCAGAUACAGGUAAUGCUUAGAAUCUAAUCAACAUUGAACUGUGCUGAAACUUUCAAGUGUUUGUGCCAAUCAAGAUAACCAUGGAAGGGAAGGGGUGGUAGGGAGGGGGCAGAAUUGUAAGUUAAUUGUUCAAAGACUGAACGCCUUCUCACCCAAGUAUUGUCUUAAAUCCUAGUCUUCCAUACUUGUCCUCUGGGGGAAAGUAAGUUCCACCCAUCAAAGGUUUUAAAUCUGGGGAAAGGAAUGCAGUCAGUGGCCAGCCUCCACCACCAUACAGAGCCUGUACAUAUGUCAUGUAUACCUGGAAGAAUAAAAAUGGUCUCAGCACAUCAUGCUGCUCAUAUAACAGAUGCGAAGUUGUUACUAUUUUUCUGAAAAGGGUUCUUCUCGAACAACUAGAAAUCAUUUGUGCCAGAACAAAAAGUUGCUGUGAUGAAACAAUUUUUAUUUUUUUUCAUAUGGCAGGCAUAUUAGAGCUUCUAUGGUUUUACAUAAAAUGAAGUUGAACCAGACCGUUAAUCACCAGUAAGUAUAUGUAAACUUUUAAGCACAUUACUAACUAAGCCUCAUGCUCAUGACUAUAAUCACCUUUCAUAUUGUCUCCUAAUCUUUUGGAAAUACAAAAUGCUCCUGAGAAUCUUUAAUAUCAUUAAAGAUAACAUAACAAUUAGAAAUUCAAAGACUUUUAAAAAAGAAUUCCCAAUCAUAUGUUAGGAGCUCCGGAAGGCCUACUAGUAACUUCUGGUAUUAAUGAUGGUAAUUUUCUAAGUUUAUAAUCAUGAAUCAUUCACCUUAUCCACAUCUGGUCUUUCCUCCCGGUCCACCUGCGGUAAUAGUAUGUUAGAAAAAAGGACUACAGAAUCUCACAUAAUAACUGUGAUACUGGGUAACUUGAAAAUGAGGUAAAUGAAAUAAGCAACAGAAUCAUAAUUUGACUCACCUUAAUACUAACAAACCACUCAUUCAGCAACUUGGCAAUGCCUUCAUCCUCAAAAGACUCGACCUCCAUAACAUGACACCUAAAUGACAGUUCCACACACCAAACAAAUCAGUUCCAGUUCAUUUUCCAACUUCGAAAUCCAAUACAAGUAUAAUCAACUCAAAAUUCAAAUAAGAACCCUCACCAAUGGCAUGUGCUGUACCCGACUUCACAUGUAAAAAGCAGCACACUUUGAAUGAGUAAUCAUCUAUCAAAUGCAUCACAUAAAAAAUGUCUACUUGUUCAACGCAAGAAUUAUAUAACAAUUUUUACUUGAUAAGAAAAUGGGCACAUCUCUCUUUCGAGCUUCAGCGAAAGCCUCUUCACCCCAUGGAUACCAAUCAACCUUGUAACACAAUCAAAAUCCCAUCUUUAACAUUAAAGUAAACAACUUUCAACUCAAUCAUGCCAAAAACAUAAAAACUGAGAAAAAUCAGAGAUACCGGGUUGUGGGCGUGUUGAAGGAGAUAAGGACUGUGCUCGGCAGCGAGGCGAUUGGUGUGUUUGUGGGAAGUUGGGUUCGAAGUAUGUUGGUCAGCCAUGGCAAGAACCUUGGAAGCGAAGAAGGGUCGAUGAGAAAUGAAAGAGUGAGGAAGUGGGUGUGGUUUUCUGGGUGAGGAGAGUAGUUUUGUUGGGUUUGAAGAGAGGAAGCGGUGAGUAAGCCUUUUGAGCAUAGAAUGAUGGAGAAGCAGAGAAGGGUGAGGAGGAGGAGAAGAGGAGGAGGUUGGUGAAAGUAUAGAAGAAAUUGGAAGGGGGGUAGUUGGUGGUGCUGCCAUGUGUAGGGAAGGGGUGAAGAGGAGAGGUGAAGAGUGCCAUGUGGAAGCUGAGCUUGUUUGACAGUUGGAGUGGACCUGACUGGUGUAUAGUGUUAACUAACAGGUGGCCCAGCCUUGAGCAUACAUCCAUGUUUCACAGGAUAGGGGGUAUCUAUGAGUAACGAGACAAGGUACAAACUUUUAUGGAAAUUACUCCUCCACGAUACGGUGUACAUGUGUGCAUGUUUACCAACAAGUAACAAAGAUCCUGAAAAAGGGAAAAAGUUUAAACUGUAUCUGACUUUUUAACGAAGUAAAACUUUGGUAUCUCAUUUUUUAAAAAUUUUAAAACGGUAUCCCACCUUUCGACCCCGAUAUAAGAUCGGUAUCUGGGGCUAACGGGGGAUGUUGGCUCCAUUACAGAGCUUGGCAGGUGGCAUCUUUUGCAGGGUAUUUUAGUCUGUUCAGUCUCUCCUGCCAAUUUAUACCAUAGUUGGCGCCAUGAACUUUUAAUGGGGUAGAUCGGUUUGAAUCUGUUCUUAACAGGCGACAAUGCAGCUACUCCGCGCAUAUUAGCUCUAUUUUGUCUGCUCCUUCACAAUGCAGAAGUUGAAACUAACAAAGCAAACAAUUCCUGGAGCAAAAUGAAAUCAACAACCAUCAAGUAUUUCAUAUUGCAGCAAAGCAUGUCGAGUUCCUCACCUAGUAAUACUUUAGAAGCAAGUAGAAGCACAAAACAAUAGUAAUAGUUCCUCACUCUUCUUACACUUCUUUAAUUUCUUCACCAUCUCCAAAUCCCACGAAUUACUCUUCAUCAAACCAAACCAGCAACUCACAAAUCUACGAAUCAAGAGAUAAAACUUGUCUAACCUCAACGCGUCGAUGCCGGACCAUUCGCGGCGCAUGGUGAGCAGAAACACCGAGAAGUACUAGACGGCGAGAGGGAGGUGGAGGUUGUGGAGGAGAGAGGAGAGGCGAUCGAUGAGCUGGGCCUGGGCGGGGGCCUUGUCGGCGUGCCACAUGCAGUAGAAGAGGCCUUUCCAGAGCUUCCUCAUGUCGUCGUCGGAGAGGUUGAGCUGGGUGGGGAGCCAGGUCUUGAGGAGAACCCUAAGGGCACGGCCGCGGCUGCCUUGGUUGCACGACGCGAGUUGCUUUAUGAGAGCUGGGCCGGAUUCCGAUGCCAUUUCGGCGUCCAUUUUGGCUGCGUGUAUUUCCUAUUGUUUUGUGCUUCUACUUGCUUCUGAAGUAUUACUAGGUGAGGAACUUGACAUGCUUUGCUGCAAUAUGAAAUACUUGAUGGUUGUUGAUUUCAUUUUGCUUCAGGAAUUGUUUGCUUUGUUAGUUUCAACUUCUACAUUGUGAAGGAGCAGACAAAAUAGAGCUAAUAUGAACGGAGUAGCUGCAUUGUUGCCUGUUAAGAACAGAUUCAAACCGAUCUACCCCAUUAAAGGGUCAUGGUGCCAACUAUGGUAUAAAUUGGCGGGAGAGACUGAACAGAUGAAAAUACCCUGCAAAAGAUGCCACCUGGCAAGCUCUGUAACGGAGCCAACAUCCCCCGUUAGCCCCAGAUACCGAUCUUAUAUCAGGGUCAAAAUGUGGGAUACCGUUUUGAAGUUUUUGAAAGGUGAGAUACCAAAGCUUUGCUUCGUUAAAAGGUCAGAUACGGUUUUGACUUUUUUCCCUCCUGAAAAAGAUAGGUAAGAAUGACAAUACAUUUAUUUGAGUGAAAUUCUAUAUAAGUUUGAGUCUUAAUAUUGACAAGUUUCUUAUUAGUAGGUUUACUGAGUAAUCGGGAUCUACGGGACUUAUAUAAUGUUGGUAAAAAUUGUUAACAUCUAAAUCUAAAGAGUUCGGGUUAUCAAUAGUUCAAGUCAUCAUAAGGUCUGACUGUUGAAUGUCUACAGACAAUAAGGUGAAAAACCUUGAGCCAACAAGAUAUAUAUAUAUAUAUAUAUACACACACACAAUGUUGAUCAGGUGCGGACGUCCGCACUAAAGUUUUGUUGCGGAUUUCUAUUUUUGCACCACUUCCUGAUCGAAUUUCCUCAAACUUCUUUCUAGACAUAUCUAGAUCAUCUUGUGUAGAUCAUCUCUGCAAAAUUUCAACCAAUUUGGUGAUCGUUAAGGCCCUCAAACUCGAAAACAAAUGGACUGACUGAAUUCUGUCCGGUUGUGUUCAUACCAGAAAAACUCGAGUUUGAGGGCCUUAACGAUCACCAAAUUGGCUGAAAUUUUGCAGAGAUGAUCUACACAAGAUGAUCUAGAUAUGUCUAGAAGGAAGUUUGAGGAAAUUCGAUCGGAAAGUGGUGCAAAAAUGGAAAUCUGCACCAAAAACUUUAGUGCGGACGUCCGCACCUGAUCAACAUUGUGUGUGUGUGUGUAUAUAUAUAUAUAUAUAUAUAUUACCUCUCUCAUGUGAACCAAGAUGUUAGUUGGGUUACUGACACACGGUUCAUAAUGUUUUUGAGUUCGUCGGCAGCCUCCCCUUAAUCCAAUUUCCUUUCAUAUAAAAAGAGGGUUCACCUUUCAGAUUGAUAUAGUACAAAAAUAAAGAAAAAUUUAAUUGUAAAAAUUAUGAAAAUGUCAUUUUUGAAAAGUUAUAAAAAGGUUAUUAAAUGUCGACUAUGUUCUCUGUAAUAUAUAAAUUGAUACACUACCACAGUGCCAUCCUCCCUAGUCCCGAACUAGUCUAGACCUAUUCCCUCUCUUGUUUCUAAGCUCUUACAACAUGGAACACUUUUAGAAGCUUUGUUCGUGAAUUCAGCUAACCACUAGCUGAUUCAACCUUGAACGCUUCUUGGGUUGGUUGCACUACACAUCCCUCAUGGUAUGCAACAUGAUAUGAGUUGAUGAAAUAAGUUUUGAGUUCAAGCUCUAAGGUUUACAGUCACGAAGAAGACUUAGAGCAGCAUGAACAAUGCAAGAUAGAACUAGACUCAACAAAGAAAACGCAAUAAGGCAGUUUUCAACAACCAUUGAGCAAAGCCAAUGCUAUAGAUAUAUAUAUAGGCAGACAAGGCAUCAAAGAUGAUGCAAGCUAACCUCUACAUGUUUCAGAAAGGUUUGGACAAAAGUGUUUGGUUCCCCAUACUGAAAGUGAUGUAACCAAAUGGAGAGUUGACACAAGCAACCUCAAUAAGACAAAGAUACCUUUCUAAAACAUGAACGAUUCCAAACAGGGAGCAAGAGGUUUGAAACCCUCUUACUCAGUCCAUCAGUGGACCUUGACACAGCCGAUAGCGACUGGUCUUUGAAUCACACAGAGACCAGCUUUGUAUUGGAUAAUGUAUCAUAAAAUCCAAGCUGGAGCCUUGAGCAUCAAACCAUUUGGUCACGGGUUGGCAUAACAAAAGAUCUCAACCCUUAGACUGGUUUGAGCGCCAAAGCACUUCUCACAAACUCAGUUGUCCAUUUGAAUUUGAAAGACUUAUUAAACUAAUAUAACAGACUUUGAAACUCAGGACAGCAGAAGACUCAAUACUAGGAUAGCAAGCGAGGCUGCUAACCUCUGUGAAAAACAAUGAUAUGCAGAUGCAUGUUUUACCUGAAACCAUAAGGGAUAUUAGUGCCACUUGUUCUUGAUCAGACAACAGCAUCUUAAGGUGUUUUACAGGAUAAAAAGGAUUGCCAACUAUCCUUAUACCUUCAGAAAUGAUUGUUUUCAACUCAGUCAACAUGUUACCGAUCAAAGUAAGAUUCUGACAACUAAAACCUGGUUUUAAUUAGCACUUACAAUUUUGCUCUUAGCAACUGAAAAGCACGAUGCUUGUUCUGAAGUUGAGACCUCUCUUCGAUCACUACAGAAGAUGCGGAUGCCAGUUGGCUUAUGGACAAGAUCAACAGCUGUCUCCACCUUGUUGACAUUCUGCCCUGCAUGACAAUGUUGCAUAUAUAUAAAGUUGUGGCAUACAAGGAAGUCGAUACUAAAAAAACAAAAAAUAAUAAUAAAAAAUAAAAAAAACCUAUAUCGAUCCAAACUUCAUCAGAUGGUGUUUUCCUCGUCCUGUAAUUCCUUAUCUAUAUAAAUUUGGAAAUCCCUAUAAUCCCUUGUUCUAAAUUUGAAUUCCACCGGUAAAAGAAUGCAUAUGUGAUAUGUGUUCUAUAUAAAGCUAGCCCAUGGUAGAGUAACUCGUUAUUUAGGUUUCGCAGCAUAUAUAGCAUCUGAUCUACCCUCGGAAGGAGAAUCUGCACCUUAAUAAUAAUGACAUAUUUACCUUCAACAAUGGCUACUCCGGACCGCCCCAACGAACCCCCGACCACCCUCGGACAGAGAAUCUGCACCUCAAUUUGCCUCUUUAUUCUAUUAACAGUCGUUUUUGGAUUGAUUGGUUGGCUAAUCUAUACGGGGAACAUAAAGCCUUCAUCCAUACAUUUCGAGGUCGAAUCCGCCACCGUCUCACAACUCAUCACAGAAGGCAGCUCCUUGAGCGCCACGUGGGACAUUACUCUCCUCGUCGGUAACCCUAACCGCAAAUACAAAAUGUGCUUCGACCACGUCCAGGCAGGGGUUCGCUACCACUACGUCGGUGACAUCGUAAUCGAGCUAGGGAGUACGCCUACAUUGCCAAUUCACUUUGCUUUGAAACGGAUGAACCAAACACACGUACCUCUUGGUUUAAAGAUAGGAGUGGAGAGGCUGUGGAUCGGCGAUGCCGUGGCACAACAAAUCUCCAACGACAGGUCUCGCGGGUCGGUGACGUUUGCUGUUACAGUGGACGCUGUUGUGAGGUUUAAGGCUGUGCUAGCGCCUGUAGAUGAGUAUCGGCUUAGGUUUACCUGCGAUCAGGUAGCUUUUGCGUUUUCCGGGAAUAAUGGUACCGGCAUAAUGACGAGUCAGCUUUCGUGCUCAGUGUUGAACACAGAAUCUAACACAGAAUCUGAAUCUUGGGGUUUUAUUUUCUGAUGAUACAAAUAUAGAGGGCCGGAUAAUAACUUUGUUUAUGAAUGUUGGCCAUUAGUUUCGUAAGUUUUUUUUUUUUUUUUUUGUAAUUAUUGGUUAGCUAAUAGGUUUGGUAACAGAUUGGCUCGUGUUGUUAUAAUAGGUUUGUUUAUUAAUGAUAUGAGUAAACCUUCUUCCAAAAAAAAAAACCAAGAAAUCCCAUUAGUAGCUACAAUAUUGCUCUUUUCUUAACCAAUCACUCCAGUAUUGUCAAGCUAUUGGAUUGUUGUUUGGAGACUGAUGUCCCCAUACGGGUUUAAGAGUUAAUCACAAAUGUGACUCUUUCAACCCAUCUUCACCCGUCCUCAAGCAGACAGUCGUGAAAAAUCUGCCUUAAAAUUGCCAAGGAAGUUGCGGCUGCACUUGCAUACUUGCAUUCCAAGACUUCUAUGAGUUCUAUAUCCCUAUCAUACAUAAGGCCUAAGAAUAAAUUCAGGGUUUUGAUCCAACUAGUCAGAAUGGGAUUCAAUAUUACAUAUCCAAAUGGGAUAUGAGCUCAGCUAUUCUUCAAAAUAAAUAAAAAAUAGAGAAAGAAAAAGAAAAAAUUGAAACCGUUUUCUCCAUAGCACAUUUUCCGGAACAACAGUGUGUGAAUCUUACAACAAUAUAGGCUUCAGAUAGUUUGCUAUAGGGCUGGGCACGGGACGGGAAUGCGUUUUUAAAAAUCUGUCCCGUAUGUCCCGAUUCCGACAAUAAUUUUUUCAAGAACAAAUUAAUUGAUAUCAAACACCAUCACAGGUGGAAAAACGGGUUGAGAAACUCCAAACAUUCAAAUGCUCCACCAAAAUUGAUCAGUGUUUGAAAUUUUCGACAUUUUUAUGCUGUUUGGAACAACAUUAAUGAAAUUAAUGGAAAAAAAAAUCCAAAAACACAUAAACAAAAAAAAGAACAUUGAUGAAAUUAAAAGUACUAAAAUCAACAAGAACAUAGGUGCAUAGGUGCUAAAUUACAUCCCACUUUAAAAAUACUAAACAUCCCACAUUAAAAAUUAACCCUCAAACAACAACUAAAAAUAUCCAAAAUCACAAAAAAAAAAAAGAACAUGAAUGAAAUUAAAAGUAUUAUUUUAGACCAAAUUAAGUGUGGUUGAGUUCAUUGUAACAUCAUGCAACCUCAAAAAUCAAGUAUAAAAUAAAUAAAAUCAUGUAUUCUAAUAUUAUGGGACAGGACGGGAUUUUUCGGGAUAGUACCGUCCCGUCCCGUCCUGUUAUGGUAAUGUUAAAACAGGACGAGAUUGCUAUUUUCAAAACCUAUCCCGUCCCGUCUCGCUAACUUUCGGGACGGGACCGGUACGGGAUCGGGAUUCCGGUACUAAUUGCCCAGCCCUAGUUUGCUAUUACCCAGCUGGAGCUCCUGCAGAUUCAGCAAGUUCUUCCAGGAGUUCCUUUUGCUCCAAGGAUGUAACUGCUUGCAAAAAAGCAGGAAAAUCAAUUGCAGCGUAAUUUCUAACUUAAAAUUUCAUGCACCUCUAUCCUUCUACAUGUAGUAUGCAACUAUCGAUGAAGAAAAUGGACAAGUCUUAAGCAGCCAGUCAAAUUCAUUUAUUUACCAACACUGUACUGUCAAUUAAUAAGCCAUUCUAUUGAUACAAAUGUUCUCACACUACGUCCUUUUUGGCUUCAGACGACAGAAGACGUUUAGUCUGUCGUCCCGAAUAUUGUAACGACAGACAUUUAAAAGAGUGUCGUCUGAAAAUAGCAACUCAAUAGUAGUUAAAAUUAACGUGUUUUUGAGACGACAUACGUUUGUCGUUCAAAAAACAAGGAAAAAUGUACCCUAAUGUUACACUUAUAAGACGACAGAAAACUGUCGUAUGGUGAAGAAACUUAAAUGUGUCUGAAGCUGUUUUUUUUUUUGGUCAUAAUUGGAGGAGUUUUUUUGACACUUAAAACCAACUCUCAUUCUCUCAACUCCCCCGAUACUUUUCUUUACUUUUCUCAACUCUCUUUUCUCUCUCUCAGUGUUCCUCACCCACAUAACCAAAAUCUCUCUUCCUCCUCCCUAAAAACCAAAUUCUCUCCUCUUCACAUUCUCAAAUUGAUCGAAUCCUCUCCUCUAUCUAAUACCCUAAAACUAAUUUCUCUCAUCUAGAUCUGGAGACCCAGAUCUACCCCAAUUUCAACCUCCCAAACCCUAAAUCUCCAAACCCUCGCAAACCAUAUUCACCGUUAAGGCCACCACCCGGAAGAGGCGCGCGGCCAAGCCCGACCAAGCCAAGUCGGCCAACGUCAAUCUCAAUCUCGACCUUUCCAGGUUUUUUUCUCCGCCGUAACGACAGCGCUGUGGUGAGAGGAGAGUCCAGGAUGGACGGGGUAGAGGAGGACCUUGGUGACGAUCUCGUUGGUGGUGGGAUCGGCGAGGAAGUCGACAGUGGCGAUGCGGUAGAGAAUGAGGGGCUUAGAGAGAACACGAGGGGAGAGAAGAAGCGGAGUUGGUGGAGUGUUCGAGGUGGCCUUGGGGGAAGUAGCAAACCCUAGUAUGGAGGGUGGGGAUGGUGACGGAGUUGCCGGCGCAGGCUCGCCAGAUUUUGGGGUCGAUGGAGACGAGCUGCAGGGGAGGCGGCGGCACGUGGGAGUGAGAGAGACACUGAGAAUUGGAAGACAUGGUGAUUGGGAUUUAGAGAUUGGAGGAAGAAGAGGAAUGAAAUCUCUCUCUUUCUCUCUCUUUCUUCUCCAGGUUUUGCUAGGUUUCCAAUGGCCACCAUUCCAGGACAGUUGAUCUGGGAGAUCACCAAGAAGGAGGAACAAGCCUGCGAGCUUGGUUCACAAGUCUGUGAUGAGGAAGGAAUUCCCUCGCAUGGCCAAGGCUGUUACUAAUCAGGUACCAACAUGCUCGAUUUACAAUUCGUUGUUUUGUUGAUGCAUAUGUGUUUUGUGGAAUGUUAUGAAUGAGGAUAGGUCGACUUGAGUUUUGUGGAAUUCAUCUUCCACCACGACUGUUGGUUUCUCCAUCUAUAUCAUUGGCUAUGUAACCCAGACAAGACUCCAAAGGUCAAGAUUCUUAAACUCUUUGUUAUGAGUUUGUUUCUAGUAACAUAAUCUAUAUUUUAUGUAAACACAUUAAUUAAUUUUCAUUAUCCAAAGUUCCAAACCAUUACGUAUACAUUUCUCUGAUUCCCUAACAUAUUCAUUUGAACUUUGUUAGAAUGAUAUAUAUGAAUGGCUAGCGGCUACGUACAUUCUUCCUCCGGUUCGCAUUGGCUAUCUACUUCGGUAAUAUCAUCCCAAAUGUAUCUGGUGUGAGGAAGUCAGUGUUCUACUUUUUAAAGCCAGGAUACUGGAUAGGGAAAAGUGGAAACAAAGUGGAAGGUAAAAAUACUGAAAUUCAGUAUCUGCUCAACUUUCCUUUCUAAGUUGUACUUAUGAGUUGUACUUAUGAGUUGUGACUUGAUACUUUUGUGUUCCUCUAGCUCUCUUUGGGUAGAGGGUGGUGUUUGUAGUUAGAUAGGUUCAAUUCCACCACCUGAGCAUACUGGUCCUGAUGAUGAAGAUGUCCUGGAAGAGGAGAACAUUGUCAAGGAGCAAGCUAAGGAAGGCACAGUUGGUCUAAACCUUGCAGUUUAAAUACGCGUUCUUGUAAAAACAUAUCCUAGCAAAAAACACAGUCGUUGUUGUUCCAAGAGCAAGAGGACUCCACCAUACCAUGCUCUUAAGGUACAUAACCUAUUUUGACUCGUUAAGAGAAUGUGGAUCUUAUUAUGAACCUGUUGUUCGUGUGGAGCAAAAUCUGGUGAAAUAGUCUAUUUAGAUUAUUCAUUCGAUGCAUCUUUGUCUAGCAUUUUGUACCUAGACUAUGAGAUCCUCUAGCAGAAUAUUAUGUCUUCAUCAAAUAGAUGCUCAGGCAUAUAUACCUCUUUGCUAAUUUUUAGGUGGAUAGGUCGACUGGAGUUUAGUUAUUUGUUCUUCUUUGGACUUGCUUUGUUGGCCAUAAUGCUUGUCGGUCUUAAUGACUUUAUGCAAGUAUAUGCAGUGCCAUAUAGUGAGAUGCCUCUUCUUUUUGACCUCUGUUAGUUGCUCUCUGCAUAUAAUAUGACCUGGACUAGAAAAUUGAGGUAUUUCUUAAUCGUGGUAUACUGGUAUUUCUCUGCAUAUAAUAUAACCUAGAUGCCUAGUGUAAUUUUAUGAUUGCUGCUAUUAUCAUCGACCUCAACUCCAUUGGUUUAUUUGGGUGAGUUUAUUUUACUGCUAUUGCCUUUAUGAUCAUCAUUUAAUUUAACUGUAUUUAACUUUGGUUCUUAUAUUCACUGUCAUAGAAGUACAUAGGUCUCAUCAAGUUAAGAUCCAGCAUUGGAUAUUGUAGGUACUGUAUCAUAAAUAUUCUUUGCAUGAAUGCAUCAUAAUGUUCAGAUCUUACUUAACUUCUUAUUGCUAACAUUUAAUUGUUUAUUGACAUAUACUCAUAUUAAGUUAAGAUCCAGCAUUGGAUAUUGUAGGUACUGUAUCAUAAAUAUUCUUUGCAUGAAUGCAUCAUAAAUGUUCAGAUCUUACUUACUUCUUAUUGCUGAAAUUUAAUUAUUUAUUGACAUAUACUCAUAUUGAUUCACUAAAGUUCUUUGUCUUCAAUGUUGCAGGUGACACUUGAAUGAAUGGUGCAUAUUGAAGUUUGAUGAGUAUGAUGAAAGUAUCAGAGUGCCUUAGUGCAGUUAGGACUUAGGAGGACUUUCUGCACACCACCAUAUUGUAGUUGCUAUUAUUUGGUUUGAUAUAUUUUUUAUUUUAUAGUUUAUGGGUCCCUUUAGAACAAAUAACUCUUUGUAAUUUGAUUGGUUUUGGCAAUGAGAAUGAAUUUGAGAUUUCUGAAUCAUGUUGUGCAAAUGCUUUAUUAAAUUGUCAUCCAAAUUAAAAUCAGACAACAGAUAUCCCCAUGGACAUCGACGUCUCUACAUAUUUCAAAUGACAUUUAUAUGUCGUCUUAAAGUAAAAGAUGACCAUAGUGUAUGUCGUCUGAGGUAAGUAUCAGACGACUAUUAAGUGACGUUUGAAUGCAUUUGAGUCGAGAGAAGAGGUUUGACGUAUGUCGUCUGAGAUAUAUUUAGACGACAAAAUAGUAACAUGUGAAUAAGUUUGAGACGAGAGACGGCUGCUCACAUCUUUAGUAUUACUUUAGUUUCGACGAUACUUUUAUGUCGUUAAGAAGCUUUCUAACGACAGAAACUUUAAUUUUGUUACGAAUGUAGGUGCAUACAGACGACAGUUGCUUAUAUACAAUCUGUCGUCGAAGUGGUAUCAAACGUCUAACGAGGUCUGUCGACUGAAUGCUUAUCAAAUGACUGCUUGAUAGACGACAGCCGAAAAAACAUUCAGACGACCAACCUGGCAGGUCGUCUGAAGCCAAAAUUGACGUAGUGUCAUUCUAUACCCUCUUCACAAAAAACCAUAUAUGUGAUGCAAAUGUUCACACCAAGGUAUUAGUCAUAUGCAUCUUAAAUAGUUUCUAAGCUAAACGAGUAACAGAUACCUGUGAUUUCCGUUGAUUCUGAAUCAGUUCCUGCUGCUCUCUCUCAGUUUUAUCUUAUAUGAUCUGUAAAUGAUCAUUUAUCAUCAGAACUGCACCACAGAAAAGGCGGGUGGAAAGUGGAAACAAGACAUAUAUGUCUGAAAGAAAUGAUUGUUUCCAACUCAGUCAACAUGCAUGUUACCAAUCAGAGUAAGAAUCUGAGGACACAUAAAACAUAUGGUUUUAAUCAGCACUUACAAUUUUUGUAUUGGCUAAGCAUGCAUUGAUGCAUAUAAUUCGCUUUUAGUUUAGGGGUACCAUAAUCAAAAUUUGUAACUUAUCAAUGUCUUACUACUGAUGGAGAGCAGGUAUGAGCAUCAUGGUGCUCCUUGUAGUAGGUUUUAGGAUUUCCAGGGCAUUAUUGAACAGAAAUUAAACUAGUCCAACCGAUCAAAAGAGAGUUCUUUAAACAGAAGGGGUAGAGGAAUGAUUUUAAAUAAUUUUACUUACGGGGCGAGGAGAUGACAGACCUACGUACGUACUUUGAACAAAUCCAACUUGAAUCCUACCAACCAAGCUAGAAAACUUGUUCAUAUACGUUCUGGAUUAUGUUUUUGAUAUCCAAACUUCAUCAGAGCUAGGUUGCAUUUCCUCAGCGUAGUAUAAUUCCUUAUCUCUUCUAAAUUAGAAUUCCACUGUAAAAAAAUUUCACACUCACUCCGGAACAAUGCAUAUGUGUACGUUCUAUAUAAAACUGGCCCAUGCAUGGUAAAGUAACUACGUUAUUUAGUUUUCGCAGCAUAGUAUCUGAUUCAUCUAGCAUAUAUACCUUCAAUAAUGGCUAUUCCGGUCAGAUCGGCCGCCAUCCCAUCCGCGCCUCCCUUUCCCCAUCCAUCCCUACCGGACCGCCCGUGCACCACCUUCUGCUACUUAAUACGAUGCCUAGUAAUAACCCUAGUUGUAGUUGGAGCCGGCGGUUGGCUAAUUUAUUUAUGGAACUGCCACCGUCUCCCAACUCAACACAGAAGGCAGCACCAUCAGCGCCACGUGGGACAUUACUCUCGUCGCCGUUAACCCUAACCGCAAAUUCAAAACCUCCUUCGACCUCGUCCAUGCAGGGGUCGGCUACUACUACGGUAACACCGUUAUCGAGCUAGUGAGUACGCCUAGGUUUCGAAGACACUUUGCUUUGAAAGAGAUGAACCAAACACGUUUCGAUUUCAAGAUAGGAGUGGAGAGGCUGAUGAUCGGCGAUGCCGUGGCACAAAAAAUCUCUUACGAUAGGUCUCGAGGGUCGGUGAGGUUUGCUGUUACAAUGGACAUUUUACGGGUGAAGUUUAAGGCUACGCUAGCGCCUACACUAGAAGAUCAGCAUCGGGUUGGGGUCACCUGUGAUCAGGUAGCUUUUGAGUUUUCCGGGAAUAAUGGUACCGGCGUACAGACGAGUCAGUCUUCGUGCUCUGUUUAUUUUGAUUGACAAUUAGUAUAGGUAUGGUAUGUGCUCGAUCAUUGGUUUGAACCAAUUUUCUUAGUUUUGUUUGAUUUUUUAAAGGUAGGAUGCGUCUAUUGCCACCCCACAAACCAUUUUACUCACCUCACAUUCUUUUCACAUCUCACUCAUAUAAUUUUAAUUACAAGUCUAUUUUGUUCACCCAUUAACAAUACCUAAAAUACCCUUUUAUCAAUUCUACUUUGUUCAUCCUAGCUACAUUAUCUUCUCACCCUACAUAUAUUUUGAUAUAUUUUAUCAAAUUCCGAUUCGCUGAAGGUAAGUAAAAUCACCAACUGAACAAAAAAAAUCACAUUAAAAUAUAAAUCCCAGUUAAAGAACAAGAAAAAACUCUCAAAUUUAAUAACUCAAUAAUAUCAGUCGAUAUCAUAAUGCACAAUGUCUGUAAAUGUAUCUCUAGUAGCAACGUUUUCCAUACUUUUGAGUUCUUUAACUGAUCUAUGUGUUGUUCAUAAAUAAGGUACAGUAGUUGUCCAUGGGAAUUUAGAUACAAAGUCAACAUAAGAAAUAAUGAGUAAAUUGAUAGACAAAUCACCAACAAAGAAAAAAAGAAAAAAAAGAAACACAAAUAGUUUACCUCAUCUUCAGGUUAAAUGUUGGUGUCUUCAGACUCACAACCGAUGAUAAAUUUAGGUUAAAGUUUAUGAAGUUUGUGUUCAUCUAAAACAAAAAGAUAAAAAAAAAAAAUUGUAAUUUGUAACAAUUUAUUGUCCCUUGCUGUAAUUUUACAUCAGGGUAUUUUAGUAUUUCAAUAAAUCAACAACAUGUGAGGUGAGCAAAGUGGUUUGUGAGGUGGUAAUAGACGCACCCUUUUUUAAAUUGAUGACGGGUGACAUGACAUGUCACAUAAGAUUAAAGUCAUAAAUCUUAAACCUUAUUAAGGCCCUCUAACCCAUUAAUAUAUGUUCCAUCGUUUGUUUGAACCAAGUUUCUUUUCAUGUUUGGUCCAAGACUCCAAGCACAAAUAGUCCUUGUUUAUGAUUUUUUUUAUUUUUGGCAACUUAGCAUACACAUGGUAUGUGUUGGUUUGAACCAAUUAUCUUAGUUUCGUUAGUUUUUUUUUUUAAUGAGUGGUUAGCUAAUAGGUUUGUUACACAGUUGAGCACUGUUGGCUCAUGUCGCCGUAAUAAUUAGUAUUUUAUUAAUGGUAUGAGUAGACCCUCCAAAAAAGAAAAUUGCGAUUAGUAGCUACAUUACUCUUUUCCAAAUCAAUCACUACAGUUUAAGAAUGGGACUCUUUCAAGCCAUCUUCACUCGUCCUCCAAGUAAAAUGGGACAGUCGUGAAAAAUCUGCCUUAAAAUUGCGAAGUUGCAGCAGCACUUGCAUAUACUUGCCCUCCGAGAGUUCUAUGAGUUCUAUCCUUAUCAUACAGGAGUUUGAUCCAACUAGUCUCAGUCAAUAUUCAUCUGUCUUAUAAAUUAUAAUCAUCUUGAUUUGGAUUAUGAACUAUAAUUUAGGUGCCUCAUGAGUUUGAUCUUUACAGAUAAUGGGAUUCCAAAUGGUGCCUCAGCAUUUUCUACCGGAUUAUGGUGGUAGGCGAAGCAAAUUUUAUGAUACUCCCUUGCUCCACAAUGUGGUGUAUAUAUGCUUGUUUUCUUCAUCUUUAAUGAGGAUUCUGACGAUGAUCGUCAAGAAUCGGAAGGCAUGCUUGAGUGGAACUCCACAUAAGUUCGAGCCCCAACAUGUACAUGUCCCUUUAUUAGUAGCUUGCUAAGUACUAUGAACCUGCAAUGACCCAUAUGACGUUGGUAAAACGUGUCAGAUCUAAAGAGUUUGGGUCAUCACGAGACCCGACUGUUGAUUGUAUGCGGACUUACAAUGUGAAAAAUCUCAACAAGAUAUAUUACUGCUCUUAUGUCAGUUAUGUGGAAUCGGCUUGAAUCUAGAUGUUAGAUGAUUUAUGCCUCCUCCAAAUCUAAAUAACCAAAAAAAAAAUUUUUAAAUAUGGUACAAAUUUAUAAAAAUAAAUAAAUAAAUAAAUAAAAAAUGAAUUCAAAACAUGCCAUUUCUGAAAAGUCAAAGUUGCUGAAUUUCAAACGAGUUUCCAGUACUCUAGCUAUUCACUUUUCAUUAGAUGAUUAUCAAAUUUGCCAACCAGCAAAUUUGAUGACCAACAAUGACCAUCCAAUCAAGAGAGAGAGAGAGAGAGAGAGAGAGAGAGAGAGAGAGAGAGAGAGAGAGAGAGAGAGAGAGAGANNNNNNNNNNNNNNNNNNNNGAGAGAGAGAGAUGAGUGGUUGUGAUUUGAUGGUCAUGGUGGUCAUCAAAUUUACUGGUUGGCAAAUUUGAUUCCAUUGAAAAUGUAGUCUUAUCAAUUCCCAAAAUUGAAAUUUUGUUACAGUGGUUUUGAACCCCAAGACAAUCAAAAAGCGGAAACUCAACUGUUUGCAGCGUCGAUCUAUCAAAAAAAAAAUGUUUGCAUUGUUUUUUUUUUCGAUUAAGAAAAUGUUUGCACUGUUGAACCUGAAAUUUUGUUAUGAGAUCGAGUGUACUAACUCCCUGCUUAGAUAACUAUUGCAUUAAAUCUUCAGAAGAGAAGUUGAUUCAACAACUGAGGUGAUCUAUUGCCUCAUAGAUAACUACAUAAACUAACAUCAACAAUGAGUUCGUUCAUGAUGUUUUUGUCAUUCUGUGUCAUGACCCAUGCCCAGUGUGGAAGGCAAAAAUACUCAAGUAAUAAACGUUCUUAUCAUGUCUUAUUGGGCUAGAAGUAGAACAUGCAUUUUGUAUGUAAUUUCAGUAUGUCACUCAUUUUAACGAAAUUUUCAUCUCAUAAAUAACAUAGAAACUUAGAAAGAAAGAAAAGAGAAACUAUGACUUGAUCGAGGAGAAUUGAUCGAAUAUAUACCAAUCUGUGACCGAAAAAUCUUGGUUCAUAUUGCUCGCCUUUGAAUUUCAUUAACAAAAACAAUGAAAAUGAUGAGUGACAACCCUAUAUAACUAAUACAACUGAACUAUAAACGGACAAACAUCUUAACAAAAUAUUCCAAGAACAACAGAGAGGCUAGCUAGCUAGGGGUUCUAACGAUGAAUUGAUGAAAGAAUCCCAAAGUAACAAAUUAAAAGAUGAACUUGUUCUUCCCGAGCUUCUGGAAUUUGUCGCAUCCCAGCAUAUGCGGGACCAACGAACAAGGAAUUACGGCGAUAUGUCGGAGAUCCGGAACGCGCGGUUUGAGAGGCUCAUCCUGCAUCUGCAUCUGGGUCAGACCUCCACGUCUCGCAGCGAAGUGUUGCACGCGUUCUUGAUCUCGUUUAACAAACCUUGUGAUGAGGAGGGCGUCUUGAGCGUCGUCGGUUGGGUUGGAGGAGAAGGUUGUGCUUCCAUUAGCAGUUGAUAUGAACAAGGUUGCGAAUAGAAAGCACAGAAGAAGGCAUGGUACUACUGCUUUAUUAGCCAUGGCAGAGAAGAAGAAAGUAUGUUUUUUUUUUUUCGGGGUGAUCGAAUUGUAUAUAUAGGGCUUUGGAAACUUGAGAUGCAAGAAUACUAGCUAGCUAGGUCUCCCAACUCUUAUAGGAUUAGGUUUGUAUAAGCGGCCCUACCUAGUUUUCUUUUAUAUUUGCCAACUUGAAUUCCUUUUCCCAAAUUAAAACUUGUUCGUAAACAACUUGGACUCGUAAUAAAACUGAAAGUUCACGAACUGCGUGUGUCUAGCCCUGUGACAAAAGCUUGUUUCCGGGAGGCCCCCACGAAAAUAGAUGGGUAGAAUCUGCUAUGGGGACGCCGUCCGACUACUUUUACAUCUCAAGUAAGUUAAACAUGAUCACUAUUGUUGGUUGCAAUGCAAGCACGAUGAUCAUUACCGGCACCCCUAGUAAUUUGAGCAACAACAUUGCAGAUUUGCCUCGACUAUUGAGUUGUUGUUCGGAGACUGAAGUCCAAAUGGGACUCUUUCAAGCCAUCUUCACUCGUCCUCAAGCAGACAGUCAUGAAAAAUCUGCGGUUAAAUUGCAAAGGAAGUUGCAGCAGCACUUGCAUACUUGCACUCCCAGACUUCUAUGCUCUAUCAUACAUAAUGCCUACGAAUAAAUUGAGGAGUUUGAUCCAACUAUCUCGGUCAAUAUACAUCUGUCUUAUAAUCAUCUUGGUUUGGAUUAUGAACUAUAAUUUAGGUGCCGUGCCUCAUGAGUUUGAUCUUUACAGAUAAUGGGAUUCAAAAACUACAUAUCCAAAUGGGAUCUGAGCCUCAGCUAUUCUUCCCAAAAAAAAAAAAUGAGAAAGAAAAAGAAAAGAAACGGUUUUCUCAUAACAGAUUAUCUGGAAGAACAGUGUGAAUCUUACAACAAUUAAUGUAGGCUUCAGAUGGUUUUCUAUUACCCAGCUGGAGCUCCUACAGAUUCAGCAAGUUCUUCCAGAAGCUCCUUUUGCUCCAAAGAAGUACAGGCCUGCAAAAAAGCAGGAAAAUCAAUUGCAGCGUAAAGUCUAACUUAAAAUGUCAUGAACCUCUAUCCUUCCUACAGUAUGUAUCAAUGUAGAAAAUGGAAACAUCUUACUAGAGAAAUACCUGAAUUGCGUUAUCUAUAUCACCACCAAGAAAACCGGUGAGCUCAUAGUUUAUCUUCAACCGGUGGUCAGUGACUCUAUUGUCCUGAAUCAAUAAACAAAAGAGUAAAUAACUUCCCCAAACGUAACAACAUAAUCAUGAAGAGAUUUUGUACACACUAGUCUCAUACAGGUUAGGCUAAGUUCACAAAAUUACUUGACCAGACUGACACUUGUUUAAAAACUUUAUACAAUUAUUGGGACUCUAAAUCUAAUAGUUGAAACCUUUUGAAUCAGAUAGUUUCUUAAGCAGCCAGUCAAAUCAAUUUUUUACCAACACUAUAUUGUCAAUAAGCCUAUCUUCGAGACUUCAGUGGCAGUAAACUUAAAAUUGAUGACAUGAGAAAAUAAAUCUAACUAGUUAUUAGUACCUUGAAAUUAUAUGUUCGAAUCUUUUCUGCACGAGAACCGGUCCCAACCUGCAUUUCAAGAAUACAACAUCAUUAAUGUAGUUAAUCUAGUGCCUAAAUCAUUACCUAAAUAAUGUAAUUGUAGUAUUGUUCUAUGUGUGUGUGUGUGUGUGGAGAGAGAGAGAGAGAGAGAGAGAGAGAGAGAUGGGAGGCUCUUGCCUAGAGGUCACAUUCUAUACCCUCAUCACAAAAAACAUAUAUGUGAUGCAAAUGUUCACACCAAGGUACUAGUCAUAUGCAUCUUAAAUAGUUUCUAAGCUAAACGAGUAACAGAUACCUGUGAUUUCCGUUGAUUCCUAAUCAGUUCCUGCUGCUCCCUCAGUUUUAUUUUAUACCUGAAACAUGGUCAUUGAUCAUCAAAACUGCACAAAAGAAAAGCCGGGUGGAAGCAAGACAUAUAUGUUUGAAAGAAAUGAUUGUUUUCAACUCAGUCAACAUGUUACCAAUCAAAGUAACAUUCUGAGGGCACCUAAAACAUGGAUUUAAUCAGCACUUACAAUUUUGCUCUCAGCAACUGAAAAGCACGAUGCUUGUUCUGAAGUUGAGACCUCUCUUCACUACAAAAGAUGCGGAUGCCAGUUGGCUUAUGGACAAGAUCAACAGCUGUCUCCACCUUGUUGACAUUCUGCCCUGCAUGACAAUGUUGCAUAAAGUUGUGGCAUAUAAGGAGUCCUUUCCUCUUACCAAAUUGAGGUAUGCAAAACAAUGUCAAUUCUACAAUAAACAAAUACCUCCAGCUCCCCCAGACCUUGCUGUUGUCAGUUCAAUAUCUUUUGGGUCAAUAACCACCUCAACUUCAUCCGCCUACAAUAUGGCACAGAAGAACUAUAAAUAAGGUAACAUGAAUGAUACAAUCAAGAGUAACGUAGAAUAUUAGUCACAAAAAACAAGAUUCAGAAUAUUCCGGUUGCCACAGCAAGCUUGACUUCAACAAUUUUGAGGUAAGGGGAUGAAUUUAAAACUAUAAAUAUUAUAAAGCCAUCUGGAUACAGAUUGAGGAAAGUAGAUGGUGCUACUCAAAUUCAUUAAAACAGUACAUCCAAACGGAAAUUUUGUAGCAGAUAAAGGGACAAUAUUCAACCAUAUUAGAGGGUAAACUAAUUUAUUACUAAUGGCAAUGAAAGUGGGGAAGAAUGGCAAAGAAAGUAAAAGAUAAUGCAUAUCACUGUUUUCCUCAUCAGGAAGAAUCCAAAUGAAGUACCACCUUUUCGAGAUAGUCAAUGUAAAGAACUUGGAACAUUGGUGGACCAAUGUUAGUAAUGGGUAUACAAACUUGAGCACACUUUAUUGAAUCUUUCAAAAUCCAGAUCCAAUGUAAAAUUGAGUAUUUUGUGCAAAAGAUAAGAUACCUCAGGCAUGAUGGCAACAGUUGCAGUGGAAGUAUGCACACGACCCUGUGUUUCCGUAUGAGGAACACGUUGAACCCGGUGAACACCAGACUCAUAUUUUAAUUUGCUGUAUACACGCUUUCCUUUUAUCUCCAUCACAUAGGUCUUGUAUCCUCCUCUUUCAGCCUAAAAGAAAGAAAGAAAGCUCUAUCAGUCAUGUCAAGAGCAAUAGGAUAUACCUCCUUAAAAAUGGCAGCAAAAAUACCUCUGUGCUUGAAACUGGGUUGAACUUCCAAUUGUUCCUCUCACAGUACUUCUCAUACAUACGAACCUGGGUCAGGAAAUAAAAAUAAAUAAAUAAAUAAAUGCAGAAGCAUCAAGGUAUGCUCAAAAACAACUUGAAGGAAUGACUUCAUGGACUAAAAGAAUACUUGUUUAGGCCUAUAAUGCGUGUCAUUGAAAACAAAACAUAUAAAGCGAGCUUGGUGUCGUAACAAGUUUAUCCACAUAGAUAGAUGCUGAAACAAGCUUGUCCAAAACCUAAGUUACCUAGCCCAUUGUUAUAGCUUUUCUCAUUUGGGAGAGACAAACAUUCAAGGCCAGGAAAUUUUGCAAAAUACUUGUACGAUUUUUUCCUGGUAUUCUUUUCUUUCUUUAUCACCAGUUUGGUGUUGUAUGCAAGAAAGGUAGAUUCCCUAUAGAUUUUAAAGGACAAAAAAAACAUAUACCUACAAGAUCACCUGCCCAGAUUCCAGCUUCAUCACCACCAGUACCAGCCCUUACUGUAGCAAGGAACAAUGCUAUUUUUAGUUAAAAUGAAAUUGAUGGGCAGGUACCAUCAUCGCCAGCAUAAUAAUGAAAAAAGCUGAUCUAUAUGUAGUAGGAAGAACAUGGUGAACCUAAACAGUCAUUGCAUUGUCUACCAUAUACUUGCCGUAGUUCAGACCACCCGAGUAAAGUAGAGCAGUUUACUCAGUAGAAAAUGAUACGUGGCUCACAAUUAAUCAAAUAAAACAAUUUACUCAAAAGGGAAGAUAUGAAAUUACCUUCAAGCAUUAUAUUUCUGGCAUCAAGAGGGUCUGUAGGAAGGAGUUUCGUCUGUUAAUAUAACAUGUAACAUUAUUAAAAAAAUUAAAAAAUCAUUCCAAAUAUCAGGACAAGGAACAACUGUUACUCGGAAAGAGGAGCACCAAUCUAACUGCUAAUAGCCUAAUACAAGGCUCACCAUAUCAACAAUAUUAUAUCAAAUUACACCAUAACGUACCUUAAGCUUCUCCUCAAGUUCUUUGAUUUGAUUGGACAAAGAUUCAAUUUCGUACGAAAUCAUAGCCGCCAUUUCUUCAUCAUUUCCAUCCUCAUCCGCCAAAGCUGAUACAUUGCGUCAUAAACAAGGACUUCAGCACUAAAAUACCUUGAACAUAUUCGAAACCAGAACUCUACUCAAAUAGUCAAAUUGCAGCAAACCUUUACUCUCCUCUAACUGCUUCUCACAGUCCUUAUACUCCUUAUAAAUUGACACAACCUGCCCAACAGCACAAAACCGCCUUCAGCGAAAUCCGAAAUGAACUCAAUCAGACAAAAUAUGUUAAUCUAAACUCUGCAAUACCUCAUCGAGCUCCGCCACGGAUUGCGCCAGCCUCUGGUACUCACUGGGAUUCGACACGAUGUCUGGAUCAGCUAGCUUGACCUAAUUCAAUUUUUAAUUCCCUUCUCUAUCAGAAAAACUCAAAUCUAACAACAAAGCAAGUAAAAAUUCGCAGUAAAAUAUUUACUAAUUUAAACCUAUCCAUUCUAAUCACGGUAACUAAAAAUCAUACCGAUAAUUCCUUCCAUGUCUUCUCCGCAGAUUCCAGCUUCGUAAUCAAAUACGGUGCCUGCAAAUUCAACCAGGAUUAACACAUGAAAUUACUCCUAUAACCUCAGUUCGUUAAUUACCAAGCAGAAACUGAAUGAAGAAGUUACUAAGUGGUGAAUGGACUGACCGCCAUGCAAGUGAUUCGUGGAGCUCUGGGAUGAGGUUUGGGGAUGGAAAGGGAAGUCCAUGAGUGGUGGGUGAAACGGCGUCGUGGAGGGAAUGCGAGUAAUCGCGGCGGUGCGGAGGUGGUGGUGAGGCCGCUCAUUGCCGCCGUGGGGGAGAAAAGCGCGGUAAGGCGGAGUGGUUGGAAAUGGAGGAGAUUUUGAUUCUUUUUAAGGCGACGGGGUGUGGAUAAGUUCCGUUGUGAGGUGUGCUUAGGAUAGAGCAGCUAUUAAUGGAUUCCAGUAAUACACAAAGCCCACGUUUUUUUCUUCUAGCCCAAUCUCUCAGCACAACAACGAGAAAACGGUGAAACCGUUAAACAACGACAAACGUGACACGUGGAUUAUAUAAAUAUUAAUUAUAUUAAAUAUCAUAUUUACAAUAUAUUCUACUCUUAAUCUUGUGUCAUGACUCACGCUAACAUAAACCAAAUCGAAGGAGCCGGGUGGGAAUGAGCAAAAUCAGCAAGAUAGUCUGCUACAAAGUUAACCUUACGAAACAUAUGAUGAACACAAUAUAAUCAAAUUGAGCAGCAAAAUGUGAGGAUGUCCUUGACUAGUAAAUAGUGUGAAGAACAAUAGAGACUGUGAAUUUUUAUGCGAAAUAAUUGACACUGUAAAAGUCAAGAGUUGAAAUCUCCCUGACAUCAUCAUGGGACGAGUGUGACAAGAAAAAAAUAUAGUAGUUUUAUACUUAAACAAGAAAAAGCCACUAAGCUUAAAAAGAAAUUGUAUUGAUCCGCAAAUGAUACCUAUGAACUUAUUGUUUGUUUAUUUUUAGCGAAACCUCACAGCUCAAAGUCGACAACACACCAAUAUGCCAAGCAAUGCUUGUCUGGUAGUAGCCUAGUCACACCAAUUACGGUGUGACUGAAACAGCACAACACACAGCGGGAUAUUGUCUGCUUUGGCCUCACUCUCAUGGUUUUGUUCUUGGGUUUCCAACUCAAGAUGUGUCUCACUAGUGUGCGUAAUUAUUGUUUUGGCAUUACAUUUUCUUUAUUGAAACAUCUAUGAUGAAUUAUUAAAAACUCAUAAAAAGGGGGGAGGUUGGGCCUGCACGAUUCCUCGAGUGAGAUGUACGCAGUUUAUGGAGGGGGAGAAGACAUGAAAGAGAAAAUACUUUCAUUUUUUUUUCGGAAAUGGAUCUUACCCUUCUAACAAGCCUGACUUCCCGCUUAAGAAGUACUUGAUUACCGUGCAAGCUUUGAGAAUCAGUUUACCAGAAUUUACUGAAUUGAAUUCGGUACUCCUCUUUAGGUUGCGAAACAAAAAAAUCCUUCUUUAAACUAAGAAAAAAAAAAAAAACCCACAAAGUGCCUACUCCUUACGCUCUUGCUUUUGGGGGACAUUGAUCUAAAGCUUGAGUGCGGUUCUUUAUGCAACGUCUAAAAAUAUAUCUAUGGCAAAACAAAACGCAAUUUGUCGAAGAGUAUAUUCUUUUCAAUCCAAAUAAUAAGACAAAGAAACCGCUCAACAAUGAAGGACCGCCUACCAAUCAAAGAGGAUGAGAGUAAGUGUAAGCUCACUCGUAAAC
Molecule: long non-coding RNA, 60628 nt
Filed under: Fragaria vesca (wild strawberry)
Lineage: Eukaryota; Viridiplantae; Streptophyta; Magnoliopsida; Rosales; Rosaceae
Description: long non-coding RNA (FVES_LNC005436)
Source: RNAcentral